Molecule: long non-coding RNA, 77244 nt
Filed under: Coffea arabica (coffee)
Lineage: Eukaryota; Viridiplantae; Streptophyta; Magnoliopsida; Gentianales; Rubiaceae
Description: long non-coding RNA (CARA_LNC006603)
Source: RNAcentral
UUUUUUUUUUUUUUUUUGAGUCAAUGGUGGAAUUGAUAUAGAUAUUGGAAGAGUCUGAAGUAUGGCCUUCUUUUAUAUAAAAAUAUAACAUAUCUUUUAAAGCAUUGAGGGAAUACAUAGAACUAUUGUUAAGGGCAGACCCAAUGUGUGUGUAAUUUAAAAAUAAUUAAAUUAAUUAAUUUAUACCAAUUUUGUUCUUUACAUAAAUAAAAUUGAUAUAAAUUUUUCAUUAAAGAACUUUGGUUUAUAAUGUUACAGUAAUUUGGUAGUUAGAUUUGGGUUUGUUAUGAGUAGUUAUAAUGGUAACUAGAGAUUUUCUGGCUGUGCAAGGCACAGCCAAUGCCCAAUAUAUAGUGUCAAAAAUAUUGAGAAAUUUGCUGGUAUUCUCAUUUCUUUAAAGAAUGACAUGUAAAUUCUUGGCAAGUUUUAUGUAGUGUCUAUGCAAAUGCGUAACUCGGAGAAAUGAGCGCAUAUGCAAUAUGAAAAAUAAACAUGAAUGAAGAAGACAAUAAACUCAAGUUAAUUAACUCACAGCACACAAUGUUUCUUUCAUGCAGAAAGAUACACACUCACGUAUGAUUCCAGAUUUUUACAAUAAUUUGUACAGCUCGAUCACAUACAAUUCCACAGUUUUACAAUAAUUUGUACAGCUUGCAGAAGAAUUAUGACCAAAAAAAAUUCAAAUCUUUGGCUAAUUCAAGCAUGUUGGACUUUGAAUUACCAAAUAUUGAUAAUAAAGAUAUCUAGACAACACCAAAACAAAAUUAACUGAAUCGCAGAACAAUAGUGCGUAACUUUACAAACACUUUGAAAUUCCUUGCAGCCCAAAUGUUUGAUGGCAAGAUGUGACGUUCAUUGCAGCCCCAAAUGGCACCAUGCGAAUAAUAGCUUUCGUACAGCACUUUGAAAUUCGUUCAUAGAGUCCUAACAAUGUGAGGAUUGAUAUUAAAAAGGUCAUCUUUAGUCAUUGCUAGUUUCCUAUGAACUCGAACAGGAAUGAUUAGAAGGUCGAUGCUAGUGAGGGCAUCCUGCAAUUUCCCUUUCUUUACAAAACCAUGCAGCUAGAAAUGUAAACCAUAGAUAAUCAGUAUAUGCGAAAUUCAAUAAUUUAGAACAUAAGAAUUUAUAUAGCACAAAAAGGGACAUCUCAAUUUUCACUCAUUGAAUUUCAUUUUAUCAAAUUCCUGAUCCCUGGAUUUACCAACAAAGUUAAGGUAAAGUGAAGUAAGAUGAGAUAAUGCUAUGAUGCUGCAGUCUUUUCGUUGACCUUAAGGCCAAUUAUGUGAAGAAAAGCUUACUGAUAGGUUGUGUCCUCUGAUAGAAGCAGCAACUUUGAUUGCAGCAAGUAGGUGAUCUUCCUUGAUCAUACUCGUUUGCUUCUAGUACAUAUAAAUCUAUUGAUUAGCCAACCUCACCAUAAUCGUAUAAAGCAUACGUUCAAUUAAUAAGUGAGAUCAAACGAACCUACAACUGAAAAAAUUAUGAAUAAUAGAUGAAAUAUAACAAAACUUAAGCACAAACAUUAUAGCGUGUAGUCAAGGAAGAGGAGAAAGUGACCUGAAAUUGAAGCAAUUCCUUAGUGCAAAUCUGUGAACCCCAAAUAAAAGGCUUUUCUGCACCAACACUUUCAACUUGUAAUUAAAUGAGUGCAAUAAAGUAGAUAUAUGGAGAAACAUAUGUAAAUUUUUAACUUAUAUGAAAAGUAAACCGCUCAUUUGGAACGUAUAGAAGUACUGCACAUAUUAUUGAUUGCUAGAGAAGCUUAUAUGACAUAUGAGUAUUAGAAUGCACUACUCUAUCAAAAGAUAUUGGAGCAAUGGAUUCUAAUACUGCAUUUUCAGCUUGACAAAGUCAUGAACCUAGGCUUUACAGGUUUAUGGUUCUGGUAAUAGGAGUUGUUAGCAGGUGAGGGAGGAGGUACUAAUUCUAAGUAUUAGAAUGCAUUGCUCUAUCAAAAAAUAUUGGAGCAAUGGAUUCUAAAACUACAAUUUAGGCAUGAUAGACCUGCUAAGUUCUUCUCUAGCAAUAUCAAAAGGUUUUAGUAAGGGUUGGGGAGUGUUCAAUUCCCUUUUCCUUCCUGUUUUGGUUUCUUUGUUGGGCUGGCAGCAGUUUCGUCGAUUGGGGUGGUAUUUGGUGAAGCUGAGGUAGCAGUGUCUCCAAGCAGUUUGUGGCUGGUUGUUGCAGCAGUUGUUCAUUUAGUGAUGAAGCUUUUUUUAGUAGCAGUGGAUUCGGCUAUUUCUUGAAGGAGCAACUUGGCUGUUGGUGUGAACGUUUGUUGUUCUAUGACUUGUUUUUGCUUGGUGUUUGAUGUUGUUCUAGUUUCUGAAGCUUGGAGAGUUGGUGGUGAAUCUAAUAGAGCCAAUGAUAUGUUGGGGACUUCAGCUGUUGGGUAGGCUUUGAUGAUUGCAUUUCUUCUUUGAAGUUGUCCUUGAAAAGUUGUCUCAUAUGUUUUGAUAAAACAGAUCAACCUGUACUUUUUCAUGAUGGCAGAGAGUUCUUGGUUCAUUGUUAUUCCCUGAAAUGAUAAGCAUCAAUGUGAGUGUUUAUAUAUUAGUAUUUCUGUAUAUAAAUGUUGAACGAAAACUUGAAAGUUAGGUGUGCUGAUGUACAUGUGCCUCUGCAUCCUUAAGCUGCGCAGCAGUCAAUUGUAUCAGUCUUUCAGCUUCUUUUCCAGAUAUUAAGCAUUGAAUGCUUGCAGUUGGAUCGGUCACUGUUAUUCCAAUGCGACACCUUAUGUGCAAUGUCCGAGUUUUAGUUUAUUGUACAAUGUAUAGUAUAAAAGAGUUAAUUUUAAACAGGCUAGAUGAGAAACAAUACCUUAGUUCCACUUUGGCUUCUUGUCUGCAUGAUGAACAUUUUAUGAUCCAAUCUGUAUCUGCUUCUGGAGCUUAUAAGCAUAAUACUCUCGCACGGAAACAAAAUCUGGAUCUUCUUGAAAGCUACUCAUUACUGUGUAAAGUGAGAAGAAAAUUUUUUAUUAGUUGAUAUUUUUGUGAAAUUUUACAUUAAAGAGUGCUGAUUAAUAAACUUGUAUUUACUUACCAGCCUCUUCAUUCUCAAGUAAUUCAUCUACAUUAGAGACAUUGAUGGGGCAAAUAGAUUCGGUUGUAAGUUUUUUUUUUCUCAAUCUCUUAGUUUGUGCCUUUAUUCCCUUUUUCGGAAUGCCUUGGUGCCAUCCUAGAUCACCAAAAGGAAACAUUAGUGGGUAUUGAAGUGGAUCAUAACAUCCAUAAUAAUAUUGAAUAUUUUUUGAGGUCCCACUAUGAGUGUGCACUCUAAUGUCUCGCUUUCCUGUUUGACAAUUGUCUUCACCUUCAAUCCACAAAGCUGCUACUUGUGAGCUUGUAGGUUUAUUAUAGACUCUCUGGUCUAGACCAGGAAUGCUCUUCAGGACAAUGUGAUAAUUAUCAAGAUUAGGCACUCCACUUAAAGUUCGAAAAAAUUUAGCGUAUGGAUUGUUUUCCAACACGCACAUGAGUUUCUUAACUAAAGUUUCUGAUAACCUGGGGCAAGAUGCUAUUCGAUUGGCUAACUCAAUUUCAGGAUCAUGAAAAUAUAAUUGAAGGUUUUCGCCAUGAUCAUUGGCUGAGUUUAAGUUGUUUAAAAAAUGAUAAAUUUGCCCUUGAAUUCUAAAUGUAUAGAUUCCUUUAUUUCUUCUACAGAGUUUCUUGUCAUAUUUAACACCAAAAGAGGUGACACCAAAGUGGUUGUUAUAAGUUCUAAUCAUAGUUCUAAAGGUUUUUGCUUCUUCUGAAGUUGAAGUUAAGAGCUCUUUUAGAACAUUAGGGAGUUUAUUUUGAGAGAGAACUACUUCACCGCUGGAACAACAGAAAUUCAUUGUCUCAGAAUAGAAUUUCUUUGCUCCGCAAUGCUGACACUGCGGCUCCAAUGGUAACCUAUCAGGGUAAUCAGGUAUGAACCUUAGCAAAUCUCUUCCACUCGGAUGCAUCUUACCUAUAAUGUGAUUUGCAUUCAUUGAUUAGUAAUUCUAAAAUCUUGCAAAUUUUUGUAUCCUAAAAUUGAAGAGAAGUGAGUAUAAAGCUGAAUGGUUAUUAUUGGAGGAUUUCUUUGAUGAUCGAAUCAAUGAUUUUUCAGAAGAAUUAUUGAUAGUGUUUAUUUCAUAUUGACUGUAUUAAAGAUGGUCUGAAAGUUUUUAUGAAUUUAGAAAAGAUGGUUUGAAAAGGUGUUUUAAACCUUUUUUUGUAUAAAAAAAUUUAUAAAAGAAAGUGGAAAUAGACAAAUCUCAGAUAGAGAAUUCAUUACCUUUUUGGGUUAGUGAUUGUACAUCGGAUUGUAAUGCAGAGUUGGUAGCAGCUGUGCAAUUCUCAAUCCUUUCCAAUCUCAGAGCUGGUACAUGUUGGAUUUUAGUGCAACCAUGUCUACGUAAUUUCUUAGAUUUCCACUUUAUGUAUGCUUGUCUUCUAUAAUUCUUUUUCUCGAAGCAUUUUUCUUCAAGAUCAUAUGCAGAAGGAUGAGAAAGAAUAGCAGAGAGAGGUAGUACUGAGGAAGUUGGUUGAGAAGUGGAAACAUUUGCUGUUCCACUUAUACCACGAAGUCGAGUGACUGUGAGAUUAUAGUUCUCAUUAAAGCUGUCUUGAUAAGAAGAUGUUCUAUUUGAGCUUGAUCUAAGAUCAAUAUCAUUAGGUUGAGGGCAGCUCUUGAUAUGAGAAGUAUGGAUUUCAGGGAUACAUGUAAAAUUGAUGGAAGGCGAACUGUGAGAGUGAGCAUAAACCUCGUCAAUAUUAGAGGUUAAUAGGAGCUGGUUAUGAUUUGAUUGAUUUAAGGUCCUUAAAUGAGAACUAUCUAAUCCAUGCAUAGAUGCGACAUUGGAAGAGGAUAAAUGUUUAGAAACAGGGACAACUUCAUUAGUAUAAUUCUCAUGAUCCUUCCUAAUGAUGUUACUAUUUGGGUCUGUCAUAAAGUGGAAGGUGGGACGAAUUAGAUGAGCGUUAUUUCCUGAGGUCUGAAUAUUGACAUAUGUAGUAUCAGAAUGCAUAUGGAUUGGAUUAGCAGGAUGAGCCUGAGAAAAUGGGAGGUUUGUUGAUAGCUCUUCAGAUUGUUCUAUUGUAUGAGAGCUAUUUGCGUUCCUUUUUAAUGAAACCUCAGCAUUGUAACAUUCAUUGAGCCACUCAUCUACUAAACUAAAGGGUUUAUUUACAUUCCUUUUUCUUUUCAUUUUAAUGAAAGUAGGAGUAAUAAAAUGUCACUAAUGAUAGCUAAUGAAGAGAGUAAAGCUAACUUCUAUACAUAUGAAAUCCAAACUGUUAGAUACAAGCAGCUGACCAAGAGAUACAAACAUGAGAUUAAUUGUUUCAGACCGUCAUAUUCAACGAAUUAGAGUGAUUAAAUAGUAAGAGGCAAAAUCUGAGAAAGAAAAAUCAUAUCAGCAUAGAGAUUCAGUUAUGAUAUUCUCCAGGGUGUAGUCAAGCAGAACAAAACUUAAGCACGAAAAUUGUAAGAUGUAGUGAAGGAAUAGAAGGAAUAACCUUGAAUUGAAGCAAUUCCUUAAUAUGAAUCUGCCAACCCCAAACCAAAGCUUCUUUAGCACCGACUCUUUUAAAUCGUAACUAAACCCCUGAAAAAGGUUGGCAACCAAAAUAAAUUGUACAAGAAAGGCAUCAAUGUAAAACUAUACAAAUUAUCCAAUAUGUUUAAACUAUACUCAGAUGAGAAAAAAUUAGACAGAGGCGAAAAUAUAAUUAGGCACACUUUAAAUGAAUGUGAAUCUGUUAAGGAGAAAAGUAGCUGAAAUAUUAAGAAAUACCACCCACCUACACCUACCCUCAAGCUUGUAUCUGAGGAUUUCGAAUAUUAUAUUAGAAGCUGAACAACAACAAGCACAAGAAUUUAAUCCAAUUAGAGGAAUGAUAGACACACUAACUAUUAAUUUUUCUAAUAAACCUGAUACAAUGAAUCUAAUCCAAUUUUUGUGCCUGUAUAGUAUAGGUGUUUCCGUUUGUUUUUGACCACCAAGAAUUCUUUUUGUUGUUGGAAUCCUUUUUGUAAUAAAAAUUUGUAAUUUAUUAGUAACUUUUUCUUUAAAAACAGCUAUAGUUUAUUUGGUAGUUAUAAUAUUUAAGAGUGUUAUGGGAGAUUAUGUUAGCAAAUCUGAUUAGAAGAAUAAAAAUUAAUUUUUAAGGACAAAAUUAAAAAUUCAUAAAAUGACACAAUAUUUAUUCCAACUACCACCUCUCUCCAUUUCCUAUACAUAUAUAAAAAGCAGUUAUAGGAAGUUAGAAAGCCAAAUAUAUAUUACGUACAUAGAAAGCUAAAGUCCAACUUGCAUAUAUAUAUGAUUAUGCAUGUCCGCCUAUUCCACAACUUCUGUCCGUCUCACUCACUGCCGUGUCCAACUUGCAAAUCCACGACUUUAGACCCCAAAAACAUGGAUACAAGUAAUUACCAAGUAUCAGACCAUUCCUUUGCUCUAUCAACAACCAAAAUCUAUUUCACCUACACAACCUUCUAUCCCAUCCUAUCCACCACUCAAAAAUACCAUAUUCGUUGAAUUGGAGGAAAAAAAAUAGGAGAACUUACAAUCUAUGGACUUGAUACUCGCAAGGGAACUUAAAAGUGAUAACAAAAAAAGUAAGGGAAAAAAAAUUCAGUCGACAAGUAAUAACUGAAAGCAAACGAACUUACAACUGAAAUCUGUGAACGCUAAAUCAGAAGCUCUUCUGCACCAAUUCUUUCAAAGUGCAAUUAAACCCCUGAAGAAAUUUGGCAACGAAAAUAGAAAGUAUAUAGAUUAUCCAAUCUCUUCAAGACUGGUGGGGAAAACUAUUAGGCACAGAAUAUGAGUAGUUACCUUUACUCGGAGAUGUUACAGAGCAAAAGGAGGAAGAAGCGUUGAUUUUUUUUGUGAGCAGUGUUUGUGUUCCUAAUGUAUAUAAAGACACAAAAUUGAUGAGUUGUUAGAGAUUUUUCUUCUCACUUUCGAUAAUUUGUGAACUGGCAAAUGAAAAGGAAGGCAAAAGGACAGACCCUAUAUCUCUAAUAAUAGGUGGAAAUCAUAGCUCAUACCUGACUCUUUGUGGAAUAAUCGCAUAGUUGGGAUAUGGAUGAGCAGCCACAAUUGACUCUUUCUGGAACAAUAGCACGAUUGGGAUAUGGAUGAGCGGCCAUAUUUUGGGGGAAAAGAUGGUCAAAUUAUUGACCAGGUGUUGGAGCAGAUAAGUUGGUACUUUUGUUUGUCCGAUCCAGGAAGAAAACAAAAGAGAAACAAAGGAAUGGAAACAGAGAGGGAGGGACGAAGGAGAAAAGGUAGAGCUUAACAUGAAAAGAAAAUGAAAUCUGCAAAUAUGCUUCUUCUGAAGCAAAAAGAAAACGAAACGGAAAGAACGGGAAAGAGAGGGCAAGAAUGCUAGGGAAAAAGUCAAAAACACUUCUAAACAAUUGGCUACUGAUGGAAGAAUUGAAGUUGUACUUUUCUUCGUUGAACCAGCAAGAAAAAAAAGGAGAAAUAAAGAAACGGGAAACAGAGAGAAAGAAACGAAGAAGAAAACAAAGAUGAUGGGCUAAAGUUGUAAAAUGAAGUGCAAUGAACAUGAAUUCCUUCCCUGCCAUCGGUGCUAAAGUUGUUUGACUUUUUGGCUUCUUGUCUUUCAUAAUGGAGACAAAGAAUAAGUGGAGAACAGAGCCAAUGCCAACUACCGGUUUCUUUGGUCUAAGGAAAGAGGGGAAGAGACGUGAAAGACUGAGAAGUAAAAGCAAAAGAAUAUGCGCGGAAGAGACGUGAAAGACUGAGAAGUAAAGCAAAAGAAUAUGCGCAAAAAGUCAGACAUAACCCUCAAUAGUUUGUUACUGUUUUGUGGCUAGUUAUUUUUCUUUGGGCAAGAUAGUAAUUUCAUGUAAAAAGGCCAAAAUGCCCUCAACAGUGAUAUACUAUUAGCGGAAGUAGUAAACAUUCCCAGGACAUAAAAGGAAGAAAAAUUUUCUCCCUCCUCUAAUGCCGCCAGGUGGAUCAAUGUGGGAGAAGAAGUCUUAGCUUUUUCUAUAUAUGUAAGAUAUGGUUAGGUGAUAACGAAAGAAAAAUAAGUAAUUACAACAAAGUAGGAAUUUCUCAAGGACAAGAAAUUAAAAUAAUGAUGGCGUCAAUCGGGUAUAAAGUAAAUGUUUGGAAUAGAUAUACACUAUCAUUGUUUAGCAGUCUAACAACUGAUCUUUCCUUCCCUUAGACGUACUAAUUAGUUGUCCGUGUAAUUCGAGAAUGGAAUUUAGCAACCGGACACUUGCAAAGGGCUAAUUGCUCAUAUUAUUGUUCCAAAAAAAAAUCGCAAGUAUAAGGCUCUGACAAGGUUGUGAUACAAACUAUGGCUGCCGACUUAGUCAAUCCGUUGCAAAAAAAAAAAAAAAUUUUUUUAAUUACCCAGCAGCCCACAUGCAAAAAAAAAAAAAAAGAUGCUGCCGGCCUAUCAUGCAAAGCGAAAAAAAAGGACUACGGCAAUGUGUCAUAUAUUGGAGGCUUACAAACUCCAUGAUUACUUGUUUUGCAUCCAUUAUUACUCUUGGCGCAUUCUAGUCUGAUAUUGAUAUCUAAAUAAUCCAAAAUUGUAACCAAAUGCCUGGCAAUUGAAAACCUUUUGAUUUUUUUUUUUAAAAAAACUUUUGAUAUACAAUGGUAUAUUAGCAUAAAUCAUUUUUGCCCAUUUAGCUACUGUACCGACCUUGUAAUUUUUCCACAAUAGCUGCACCACACUACGAAAAUUGUUACGUUCAGUUAUUAUGCUCCUUAUCAUUAUUAUUAGAGUGAAUGGCCCAAAAGGUCACUAAACUAUUAAAAAUGGCACCCUCUGGUCACUAAAGUUUUUUUGUGGCCGAAAAGGUCACUAAACUCGCAAAAACUCUCCAACGAAGUCAUUUUACCAAAUUUCAGCGGUUCCUCAUCCGGUAACAGGGUCAAUAUGGAGUGGAGGAAUAUAGUAAAUGGGCAAAAAUGUCCGAAAGAUUAUUGGAAUAGGUGAAGCCAUAGAUUGUCUCAAUCCCAAACCCUUAUUUCCGCAGGAAGGCCCGUAAUGGCGACCUCCAACACUACCCUCCUACCGCCACUUUCUCCACCGUCCUCCGACUCACAUUCCGACUCCGGCACCAGUUCCCGCCAGCACCAACACACUGACCUCUCCUCCACCAUCUUUAAAUCCUACCUAGAACUCACCGGUCACCAAUCCUCCCCUCAACAUCAAGACCUGAUAAAGAUCCAAUCGUUCCUUACUUCCUCUCGCUCUGGGGCUCUCUCAUGCCUCAUAUGCCUUGAACGGAUCAAACCCACCGAUCCCACCUGGUCCUGCUCCUCCCGCUGCUUCGCAGUCUUCCACCUCCUCUGUAUCCAAUCCUGGGCCCACCAAUCCUCAAAUCUUGCAGCUGCACGGGCUGCCUCACGCGCCGCCACUCUUAACGAUGACACCCUCCGCUGGCAUUGCCCCAAAUGCCGGAUCGAGUAUCCCAAAUCGCAGACCCCCAAGUAUUACUAUUGUUUUUGUGGAAAACUCGAAAACCCACCUCAUGAUCCCUGGAUUUUACCUCAUUCUUGUGGAGAAAUCUGUGGUAGGCCGUUGACAUACAAUUGUGGGCACGAAUGCUUGUUGUUGUGUCACCCAGGGCCCUGCCCCUCGUGCCCGAAAUUGGUUAAAACCAAGUGUUAUUGUGGGGCUAAAGAGGACGUGAGACGUUGCGGGUUUAAGGAUUUUUCUUGUAAAGGCGUUUGUAGAAAGACAUUAGCUUGUGGAAGCCAUAGGUGUGGUGAAAUUUGCCAUGAUGGUGACUGUCCGAUGUGUCGCAAAAAAGGGGUUUAUAAGUGCCAAUGCGGGAAGGUGGAGCUGGAAAGAGAGUGUUGUGAGAGGAUUUUUAGGUGUGAAAAUCCAUGCCAGAAGUUGCUUGGCUGUGGGAGGCAUGUUUGUGAGAGAGGGUGUCAUAAAGGUAAUUGUGGUGAGUGUCCACUCCAGGGGAAGAGGACUUGUCCUUGUGGAAAGAGAGUGUAUGAAGGGAUGGCUUGUGAUGUUGUUGUGCCUCUCUGUGGAGCAACUUGUGAUAAGCUGUUGAGCUGUGGAUUCCAUAGGUGCCCAGAAAGAUGUCAUCGCGGGCCUUGCAUUGAGACUUGCAGGACAGUUGUAACCAAGUCCUCCAGGUGUGGAAGCGCAAGGAAACAGGUAAUUCUUAAAGUGAUUGGUAAAAUGAGAUAAAUUCUUUUAUCAACGAAGUUGGGAUUGAGAUUGGUAAAUUGAUUUUAGAGCAGAUUCCUUGUUAUCAAGAUUCAACAAAGGAAAAAGGUUGACCAUAUUUUGUUUGACAUUUUUGCCCCUUUACUAUAUUCCUCCACUCCAUAUUGACCCUGUUACCGGAUGAGAAACCGCUGAAAUUCGGUAAAAUGACUUCGCUGGAGAGUUUUUGCGAGUUUAGUGACCUUUUCGGCCACAAAAAAAGUUUAGUGACCGGAGGGUGCCAUUUUUAAUAGUUUAAUGACCUUUUGGACCAUUCACUCUUAUUAUUAUUUGUUAAUUUUAUCUUAUCAUUUUAUUUUUUUUAAUUUGUUAAUUUGCUCACUUUUCAGCAUUACUAAUUUAUGACAAGUUUUAACCUUUUUUCCUACCUUUCCAAAAUGAAAUUUUAAAUUUACACAUGAAAAAAAUACUAGAGGUUCAAAAAUUUGCAUUAAGUUUAUAUGUUAACUUUUAUAAUAUUUAGUUCAAAUUUUUAUAUUCUUAUUGUUUAGUUAUUAAAUAGUGUGUAAUUUUGCAACAUAGAGUAUGGAUGGAGAAAAAUUAAUAAUUAAGUUUAUUAAACAUUAUAAGUAAAUAUUUAAAACUAAUGAUGGAUGUAAAGAAUGAUAUAAAUUGAUAGCUUAGUUAACAAAAAUGAAUUUAAAUGAGUUUGUAAAAAUGAAUUCAUGCAAGUUGGUGGAUUAACUUUGAACUAGGAGGCGAUCACCGUGCUUGCGCACGGUGGUAAAGUGUAAAUCUGCCCAGGAUCAAACGCUAGAUAACAUUUGUUGUUAUGUAAUCAGUGUUCAAAAGUGUGCUGUGAAGUCAUUUGUUAUCGGAUUAAAUUAAGAGAUCGUGUUAAUGAUCCAUGGCAUAGAAAAGAGCGGAAAGGGUAUUAUAUAAAGUGUAUUCGUGAAUAAGGUUGAUAUUUGUAAGGUUAAGUUUAAAAUAGCGAACUUCUAUUUAAAGGGAAAAUAAAGUAGCAAGGAUUCUUGAGCAAUCCUGUCUAGCCGAGAAGGAGUGCGCUUUCUUUGUCUGCUAGACCGGCUUGAAACAGCAUCUGUAGGACCAAUAUUGAUGUCAUCAGGAACCGCAAUAAUUAGGUGGCUAAAAGAACAGACAUCGAUAAAUUAGCACAAGAAACUAAUGGACAACCUGUGCCGGACGAAACUGUAGAUAACAAAGCACGCUCUAUAGUUUCAGGAGCUAAUGCUUCGCAAAGCUGGCUGGGGGUUGACGCCAUACAUGCCAAAGAAUGAUCCACAGGUUGAGAAGCUGGUGCUUCACGAAGCUGGCCAAUGGAAGGAACAACAGCUUGACCAUGCGAACACUGGCCAGAACAACGAGGAAUAAGUACACUUGCUUCCACCUGGACCAAAGGUGCAGCCUGAGAGGUGGCAACAGGCUCAAGCACAUGAUCUAAAGCGGAAGGGAGCAGCUUUCUUCUCUUCGCAGCAUAAGACUGCUGUCGUCGGCGCAAAAGAUCAUUCUUGUUAUCCUGGGGCAUUUCCCGGCAGCGCUUGCGACGCCUUACAUUUCUAUCCAUGGAACUCGAGAGCGCUAAGCAAACAGUGGAAGCCACUUCAAAACACAAUGUCCUUGAAAGAGAAGCAAUGAGCUUCCCAACAAGGGAGGAUAUGAAUCCACCAGUAAGGCAUUAGUGAAAGAAGCAAACAAAAAGAGAUAGCAAAGGAAGGAGGGGAAAGCAAGAGUAACAGCAACGUUCGGCUAUCCAACAGUGCAUGCAUGGAAUAAUGUGCAAAGUACACACGGGUAGUGAAUGGGUGGUGAAUGGGUUUCAAUGAAGGAAUGAGCGGAUCAAGUACAGAGGACACAAACGAAAUAUAAAUAAAGGAAAAAGCCAGUAAUGAUGCAGGACACAACUAAAUGCACGAGGAUGAAGAGCUGCAUCUUUCGCCCUUAAUGAUGCAGAACACAACUAAAUGCGCGGAAGAGCAGCUAAACAGCAAUAACCAGCACAAAACAGGAAAAUAACAAACUACGCAGGGAACAGAAUGGAAUACAAACGAAAACAAGAUACAAGAAUAGAAAAAGGAGCGUAAAAAAAGAAUAGAAUAGGUACCUUCUUUGGGUAAUAACAGAAAGAACAACGCCGAAGAUGACGGCAACGGGAGGGAAAAUGGACAGUAUUACGGGCUAAAUGAACGCAAGAGCAAAGAGAGUGCAAGUAAACAACGUACGCUGCAGAAGAGGAGACAAAGAAGAUGGCGCACAGGUACAAAGAGAUAAGGCCAGAGGUUGAAUAAUAAUAAGGGCGAAAGAUGCAGCUCUUCAUCCUUGUGCAGAGAAAGAACCGCUAAGAAUAUAUGAAAAGUAGAGAAGAAAAUGCACGGGAAGGUAGCAAGAGAGAUCUUGGAAAUCAAAGGAAUCAUUAGGUUCCGCCGAUAAUACAGAGCAUGCUAGCAGAAUUUAAUGCUAAAUAAAUAUAAUGAUCAUGUCCAAAGAGGGGAUUCUAAAGAACCGCCGGAGAAUCUUUAAGCCCAGAGGUUGUAUAGGCAGGCCAGAGGUUGUAGAAGAAAAUGCACGAGAAGCUAGCAAGAGAGGUCUUGGGAAUCAAAAGAAUCAUUAGGUACUUCCGCCACUAAUACAGAGCAUGCCAUCAGAAUUUAAUUCUAAAAAAGAAUGAUCGUGUCCAAAGAGGGGAUUCCAAAGCACCGCUGGCUACAAGCAGUCCGUUGUUUAUGUAGAGACUUAAGACUUAAAAGCGCAAUCAUGCUUCCUGAGUUCCAAAGCAAGGGAAAAAGUGGGCAGGGCGGUUGGGAUUUAGAAAAAAGGCAAAAUAAUGAAAAGAAAAGGAAAAAAAAAACAGCAAUACAACUCUUUCACACGUGAAACUCACAUGGAGGACGACCAAACUAUCGAACCAUCUUCCCGGUUUAUACUACAUAUUCUAAUAAAGCUAGAACCGAUGAAUGGAGAAUCCAUAAUCCAUCCCACAUAUCAUACCGGAAAGCAACUGCAGGAACCAUCAAAAUGGGGACCCAUCAUCUGCUAUCCCCAUUCCCCACAUAUCUUUCUUUUUUUGGGCUUUUGAUGAUGGCAGCCGACUGCUCGACACAGGCCGGCAGCCAUCAUAUUUAUAAGAAAAAGUUGCACGUGGCUGCCGGGCUGACAACCCAGAAAUUUUUAAAAAUUUUUUUUUUUAGUGCCAGGCUAAAUCAGCCAUAGUUUUGUACUAUAACUCUGUCAGAACUUUAUUCUUGAGAUUUUUUUUUCGAACAAUAUUCUGAGCAAUUAGCAAUUACAAUUUUGAUUCCAAGUGUUUGAGGUAUGAAUGCUUUUAGUCAUUAAAGUUUGGAUCAAAACAAAUGUAGUCUCAAAUAUUUUAGUUUUUAUGCAUAUUUAGUCCCAAUGACUUACUUUUACCGUUUACUAUUGGAAUUUGGUCAUAUGCUAGCAACUAAUUUUCAAAAAAAUAGAAAAACCUAAUAAAAAAAUUGCUAGCCAUAAUCUCUGUAAUAAAGAUGAGUAAUUAGUCUUUUUGAAACAAAGUAAUUAGUCUUUAACCUAAAUUUUUGUUAAUUGAAUUUUUGUAUUAUUGGGCUAAAGACUAAUAACAGGCGAUCUACAGUGAAUAAUUAAUUAUCUUUUACUACAAUUUAUGGCCAACAACAUUUAGUUCAAGUUUAAAAUUCUUUUAAAAAAAUUAAUUACUGUUAUGUAGUAGUAUGUGAUCGGAUUGCAAUAGCAAUUGGUAAAAAUUAGUCAAUAAGAUUAAUGGGCAAAGAUUGAAAUAUUUGGAACUACAUGUACUUUCUUCCAAAUUUAGGGAUUAGAAAUGCUUAUGCUUCAAAUAUUUGAAUCCAAAACUGCAAUUUUUUCAAUAUACAAGAGAGUUUUGGUCUAAACCUUUUUCUCUUUGAAAAUGAAUUUUUGGGAUAUUAUAUUUUGAAGUGGGCUGCAAAAGUUAAAAAGAAAGAAAGAAACAAAAGCCCAAGUGAGGGAUGUAAGUGAGACUUUUCAAAAUUCAAGAGUGCCAAGUGGCACUGUUAGAAACCUCAAGGGAGGUUUCUGAAGUUAUCCCUUCUAUCUUUACAUACUUUGUCCAGCUUCAAGCAGCCUUGAGUUUCCGUUGCCAUCUCCGCCCUCGAGUCUGCCUUUCGUCCUCCUUUGCUCCCGCUCCUCUCCAAAUUCCACCACCACCAGCCGCCGUGCAUAUGAUGUGAAAGCCUCCUCGUCCUCUUUGCCCUUUUAAUUUUCCUUCUCCUUCUCUUGAAUCACUGCCACCCAAUUGCUGUUUAGUGAAGGGUCUUCAAAGAGAGAAUUUUGGGUUAAAGGUUGAUUUGUUAUGGCUGUCUUUCUGUGCAAUUCCCAAGUCGAUUUCAAUAGCUGAAUUGGAAAGGUGAGUUCUGAAAUUUCUCAUUCGACCACCACUCAGCAUCCACUUAGUAUUAUGCUAAAAAGAUCAAAGCAUUUGCCUCAUCCUCGUCGAAAAACCCAAUCUUUACCCUUCAAGAAUGUAGUUUCUGCAAUUUUGAUUAGUGGGAUUUGCAGUAAUAGUACCAAUAAUAUUGCCAAAGCUGCAGCUUCAGAAUCUGAAAAUGAAUGGGAAAGUUUGCUCAAACCAUUUGACCUCAAACAGCUUAAGAAAGUACUCAGUAAAAUUACCCCUUAUCAGCUUAGCAAGUUUCUGGCUCUUCCUUUGGAUGUGCCCACAUCCUUGGAGCUAUUUCGGAAGGCUAGUGCCCAGAAAGGCUAUUGUCACACUUUUGAUGUGUACUAUACUUUGAUUGAUAAACUUGGUGCUGCUAAGGAGUUUAAGGCUUUAGAUAAACUGUUAUUGCAGAUGAAGGAGGAUGGGAUAGUUUUCAGGGAGUCCCUCUUCAUUAUGAUCAUGAAGCAUUACGGUAGAGCUGGUUUACCUGGUCAAGCCACUAGGUUGCUUUUGGAUAUGAGGAAGAUAUUUUCUUGCGAACCAACGUUUAAAUCGUAUAGUGCUGUGUUGGGAAUUCUAGUGGAUGGUAAUUGUCCUAAAGUUGCUGUUAAUGUCUUUUAUGAAAUGCUUAACAAAGGUGUCUCCCCUAGCGUUUCAUGUUUCGCCAGAGUAAUAAAAGCGCUAUGCAUGAUUAAUGAAGUGGAUUCUGGGUGUUCACUUCUGAGAGACAUGACGAAACAUGGGUGUGUGCCCAAUUCUAUAGUUUACCAGACAUUGAUUCAUGCACUUUCCAAGGCCAAUAGAGUAGGUGAUGCCUUGAGGCUUUUGGAGGAGAUGUUUCUUAUGGGCUGUAUACCAGAUACCAAUACUUUCAAUGAUGUUGUAACUGGCCUUUGCCAUUCCAGUCGAAUUCAUGAGGCUGCCAAAUUGGUUGAUCGAAUGCUUGCUCGGGGUUUUGCCCCUGAUGCUAUAACGUAUGGAGUUUUGAUGCAUGGUUUUUGCAGAACAGAUCAAAUAGAUGAAGCCAGGGCCCUGCUAUACAGAGUGCCCAAUCCCAAUAUUGUUCUGUUUAACAUUUUGAUCAAGGGAUUUGUGGCCUCUGGUCGUUUUGAUGAAGCAACAGCUCUUAUCAGGGAGGGCCUGAUGAAUGUUGGCUUGCAGCCGGAUAUUUAUACAUAUAACAUCUUGAUUCAUGGCCUUUGCCAAAAGGGUUGUUUGGUGUCAGCUUGUGAAGUUCUUGAGGAGAUGUCAAUCAAGGGUUGUAAGCCCAAUGUGAUCACAUAUACUAUUCUGAUUGGGGGAUACUGUAAUGAAGGACGUUUAGAGGAGGCUAAUGAACUUUUGAUUGAGAUGUCAUCGCAAGGUCUUAGUUUAAAUGUAGUCGGAUAUAACUGUCUUGUCUCUGCUUUGUGCAAGGAUGGAAAGAUCCAGGAGGCAUUAGAAACUUUUGGUGAUAUGUCAAGAAAUGGAUAUAAACCAGAUAUAUUUACAUUCAACUCUUUAAUAUUUGGGUUUUGCGUGGUUGAUAAGAUGGAAGAGGCACUUAGCAUGUAUCGUGAUAUGUUGCUUGAGGGGGUUAUUGCCAAUACUGUUACCUACAACACAUUGAUACAUGCUUUCCUGAAAAAAGGUGCAAUCCACGAGGCCCUUAAGCUUGUAAAUGAUAUGUUGUUUAGAGGAUGUGCCCCUGAUGAGUACACAUAUAGUAGCCUUCUACAUGCACUGUGCAAAGAUGGUGCUGUUGAGAAAGCAUUGGGACUUUUUGAGGAAAUUUUGAGAAAGGGAGUCUAUCCUAAUAACAUAUCCUGCAACAUUUUAAUCAAUGGCUUGUGCAAAAUUGGCAAGGUACAAAAGGCACUUGAAUUUUUAAGAGAGAUGAUUCAUCGUGGAUUGACACCUGAUAUAGUUGCAUACAACACUUUGUUAAAUGGUCUAUGUAAGUUGGGUUGUGUUCGAGAAGCAACAAGCCUUUUUGAUAAAUUGCAGUUUGAAGGCAUUAGUCCGGAUCCCAUCACGUAUAACACUCUUAUAAGUUCCUAUUGUAGAAUGGGCAUGCUUAAUGAUGCCCAUAUGCUCUUAAAUAGAGGCGUGGCCUGUGGAUUUAUACCUAAUGAGGUGACAUGGCAUAUCUUAGUCAGGAACUUUGUGAAAAAGGGUACACAAGAGAAUCAAACAUUUUCUGGAUAUUCCAACUGUUUAUUUUAGUACUCAUUAUGUGAAUGUUCUUGUGGGGAAUCCAUUAUGAAAUUCUUUUGCUUUGCUGAAAAAACCAUUAUAAUUAUUGGGAUUGUUUUAGCAAUCCCAGUUGUUUAAGGAAGCCAUAUAGCAUACAUUGGAAACAAUCCCAGUUGUUUGAGAAAGUCAUAUAGCAUAGAUUGGAUAGAUGCAUAUAUACUUUAGUCAACUUUAACUAGGUUUGCAUCCAUUGAAGUUUUAGCUGCAAUCUGUUGAAAUGCUCAAUGCGGCUUCAGACCUGACUGUUGUAUGGGCACAGGGUUCGAAACCUGCACUUCUUCAAAUUAUAACUAUAUAAAAAGCAUCAUGGUUUGCUACCAUAACAUGGACUGAUUAUACGGUAAUUUCAAGUAACUCUGGUGGCUUUUGUAUUAGACUGAGUUUGCCUAUAAAGACAGUUGUUGUUGUAACUGUUGUUCCUUUAGUUCCUGCAGUGAGUGGCCGGUGCAAGAAGGUCUGUUGGAACUGCUGACUGAUUGCUGCUUUUGAGAGAGCUUGCUUACCAGAUCAGUUAGGCCAAAGAGUUUUGUGCGAACUACAGAUUCUGGAGAUUUACCCGGAUACUUAAACUCUGUGGUGAGAAUAUAAGUUUCUUGAUUUUUGCUUCACCUCCAGCUUACAUGUGUGUAUGAAUUGUUUACAUGCAUGUAUAAAUUUACAUGUAUAAUUGAUUAGAUUCAGGCAGAGCAUAUGACUGGCAUAUGCACAUGAAUUAUUGGCUUUGGUCUUAUUAAUUCAUUACUGACAGUUGAGGGUUGCAUGGUUAUGAAUUGCUUUUUUUUUUGUGGCUCUUGAUGCAUUUGCUUAUAUAAUUGAGUAUUGUGUUUGACAUAAACAAGUGAGGCCAGAGGUUUGCCGUGCAUAUCCACAUGAAUUAUUGGUUUUGCGCUUAUGAAUUUGUUACUCACAAUUGAGGUUUCAUUUACUUGAUUUGCUUGUUCUGCUUUUGAUGCCUUCCGUAUUAUAAUUGAGGCCUGUAUUUGACAUGAACAAGUGAGGUUAGUGGUUUCUGUUGAGUUACAAUUGUGAUAAAUGAUAAUGAAAGCUUAGGUCUGGUUCUUUUGGAAGGUAAAUUCUUCACUCUAUCUCUGCCCUGAUCGUAUAUUUUUGCUGUACUGUAGUUCUGUUGCUGCAUGCAGAUUGACUGUGGGUGUUGAAUUUAUUGAUCUGUCAAUAAGAUUCUGUGUGUGCAGUUGAUUAAAGUUAUGCAUACCACAUGAUUUAUAUAUUUACAAGGCUCAUUUGACCGAUUGCUGUGAAUUUUUGUAUGAUAUUCAGGGCUGGUCUCCUUUGAUCAAUACUAGAUCAAUGCUAGAUGGUUGAAAGCAGUUAAGAGUUAUCCAUGUUACCAGCUAUACUUGGUCUUCCUACAACUGAUCUGAAAUUAAACUGAAGAAUGGUAAACCAAACUUAUAACUGGGAUUCAGGGAAUCAGAUUUGUGUGCAUGUUGACUGAACUAUAAUUACAUUACGGUGCAAGAAAAACAGCUAGACUUAUUUCUCUGAACGAGAAGGUCAACUUUCUAAUCUUGUUUCGUUUCUUUACUUUUGUAUAUCCAAAUUCGCAAAUGUAUUGGUUUAUCUUAACAUGGGGUAAUUGAUAGUUUGUUGAUAUGUGUCUCAAUGAUGGACAUUCUAUCAAAUCUGAUUUAUAAAGGCAGUAUUAGAUGUAGAUGGAUUACAGUUAAGCAUCUAAUUCAUCCUUUUCUCUGAAGUCUAUUUGACUUAGAACAUAGAAGCUACUUUGCAGAAUCCUGAAGCAAAAAGAAACAUGUGAAAGGGUGUUUAUAGUAUUCAUCAGGGUGAAAGUUUAAAAGAGGUGUGGGUUGCCUACAGGAUUUUGAGUUCUUAAAUUUCUCUGAUUAUAUAACAAAUGGAGCAGUAACACGUGUUGCGAUGCUUCACUUCAUAAAGCAACCAGCUGAAGACGAAUGCUUCACUUCAGCCAACUCCUAAUCCAGCAAAGCACCAUGUGGAGGGUGAUAUGUCAAAGCCUUCUUGCACCUCAACCUCUAGAAUUCUCUCAUUACUUCCGUGAUUUCAUCUCUUUCCCAUCUUACAUAUGUCUCUUCCUCUGCCUCUGUUGGCUAAUCACUACCAGCGUCACUGCUGCCACCACCACUGAAGAAUAAACUCAAAUAAAGAAAAACACAGCUCUCCAACCUCAGUCACCUCCAAAACCACCACCACCACCACCACCACUGAAGAAUAAACCCUAAAUUAGCUGCUAACUAUCGAACAAAGCUUGUGCUGAGAAAUGAGAUUGCUACAAUAGAAUUUAGACCAUAUAUAAUUUAUUUGUUGAGUAAUUUGGUAUUUGGAUCAUUUAGUCAUCAUGCAUUGAUGCCUUUCUCUACAGACUCAGUUAGAGACAUGAUGAAGAAUCCACUGUGUUUGGUCCAGUUCCACAGUUUCCACUUUCUGCCCCACUCUAUCCGUCGUCAACUAUUAUCCAUCAAUCACUGACGAACAAACUGUUUAAAGUUCCUCGCCUAAUUCUCCACAAAGCUUUCAGAUCGCAAAUCCUCCUCUUCUUGCAUUCGUAACUGGUAGGCUUUCUCUUGAUUAAUCUUGUAUUAUAUAAGAUUUUGACAAAUUUUGAAGUAGAUGAGACAUGUCAUUAUUUUAGUAUUGUACUUUUUCCUCUUUGCAUAGCUACUAUGUUUUGCUUUUUCUGAUUAUUUGCAUUUUUAGCACUUACUUUUCUUUCUUCCGAGUGUGUUUCCUGAAAUGCAUGUUGCAGUUGAAACCUUCUUCAAAAGUAAGCUCUUCUCAUCAUUUUUUAUCUGUCAUAUGAGGGUGAUGAAUCCAUGAAGCUAUCUAUGAUGUAGGUCUUUCAAUUUCUUCAGACUUUUGCCACCUUUUUUUAAUCUUUUCCAUCAAAUAUUUCAGAUAGUUACAAUGCUGAACAAAAAUUCAAGUAUAAUAGGAUGGAACAUUCAUGAGAUUUUGACUUGCAGGCAUGAUAUAUUAUGUAGGUUAAACUUCUUUUUCUUUGUCGAUGACUUAUAUUUGCUUAUAUAAUUGAAUGAGGUGCACUUUCUUAUUGAAGAUAUUAAGCUUUUGCAGGACUAGUGAGACUACAAAAAUCAAAUGUUUUUCCUUUGCUUCACUGAUCUUUUUCUUAGUGGAGAACGUCAUUUCUUCUCUUCUCCUUGGUGCACUUUAUUGGAGAUGAGUUAUUAAAAGUGAGAUUGUGACGCCCCUACUUCUCCCAAGAGCGAAUCCGAGCGUAUCGGCGGGACGCCUGCUUAACUCGCGUUAGGACUCAAAAACACAGAACAAUAAAAACUAGAUAAAUCAAAAGAGUACUAUUCACAAUAUAUACAACCCCAAAAGAGUUCUAUUUACAUCUUCAAAAGGAGUUAUCCAGACUACUACAUUAUCCUAUGCUAGUAAUCAAAAGUAGAAAGUAGACCCAAAGAGGGGUCCUUAUUCAGAUCAUCAAAACAAGAAGAAACAUCUUAAUUGUUUGGCUAUUAUAAACCAAGCCUAACUAUUUUAGUGAUAAGUUUCCCGCAUCGGCACCUGUUAAGGAAAACCAAGGGAAAGGGGUAAGUUAUAUGCUUAGUAAGUAAACAGGGGUAAAAACGUAAGGUUCACAUUAAAACGAACAAUUACGUCACAAAGAUGUCAAAUCGAAAAUAUAAAAGUAACAACACAAGUUAAGAAUACAGGUUGGCUCCAAAGUCACGUCAUGUGCCAUGUAUGACCUCCUGUCGACCACCGAUAAGGGUUUGUAGAACUGCACUUGUACUCCCACUUAACACCUUAUCGUCCUUACUGGUCAGUUAUCUCAUGAAAUGGCUCGAGCAAACGAAACGAAAUUGAACUUGAUUCACAAGUUCGGUUCACAAACUUGGUUCACAGAACCACAAACUUAGUGACCUUAAUACUAGGUUGGACUGAUUUCGACCAAACCCUGGCCGGCUCGAAUAGUCCGUCUAGGUCUUGAGAUCGGGUCCCACAAAAGUCACAUCGAACUACAAGUUCAAGGGGUUCAACACCAAAAUAAUUCAUAUAUACACAUCUCAUAAAGAAGCACAAGUGCAAAUUAGGGUUUAGGUCGAGUGUGAUCAAGUACACCAUCGCCUAAGUACCCUCUCAUCCACAUGAAAGCACAUAAGCAAGUUAUGCACAAAAACGACUUGAAUACUUACACAAAAUACAAAGAUAGCACAAGGGCGAAAAUCACUUCGCAUGUGAUAGCUAGUAGGCCUCACUGGCUCCGUCUAGCUCGCCACCGUCUGUAAUAGAAGGUUGCACCACAUUAUUACACAAACCACUACUAAAGUGCGUAUAUCAAGUAAAACGGCAAAAUGGGCACAUGCACGCGCGGAAACGGCCGGCAAACGGAAACGGGUAGAUUUGGCACCUAGAACUGUUUUGAUCAAUUUUCAAGCUACGGUUAUCGGAUCGAAGUGCAUGAGGUACCGUUGCGAAGCUAAGAAGAAGGGCUACAACUUUCAUGAAGACACCUCAAGCCAGAUCUUAAUGGGACUAGGACAAAAAUGCACAAGACAGUCCCAGCCGUUUCAAUUCAGGUUACCGAGCAGGCCCUGUUUGAACGACUAUAACUCAUGACUCAGAGAUCGGAAUCAAGAAAUUCCAGAGGCGUUGGAAAGUUCAUUUCUAAGGCUAUAACUUUUGUGUUUUGACCAAAAGUUGAAUCAGUACAGAGUAUAGGGAAAAACGGGUCCAAAGUUCCUGUCAGAACUGUCCAACUUCAAAGGCAAUUCUGACACCCGAUUUUGUUUUGGGUAUAACUAGAGUUACGGAACUCGGAUUUGGACGCACUUUAUACCGUUUUGAAACUGAAACAAAAAACUUUAUACGCACUUUAUACCAUUUCUAAUUCUUUGACUAAGUUUAUAUCAUAAGAUUUGUUAGAUAAUCCUAAGAAAUAAACAAAACAAAAACCAAAAGGAGAAAGAGGGAGAGAGGGCCGAAACUUGAAGCUUGAGAGGAGAAGAAAAAUUUCAGUUUCAAAACGGUAUAAAGUGCGUUCAAAUCCGAGUUCCGUAAUUUUAGUUAUACCAAAAAAAAAAUCGGGUGUCAGAACUGCUUUUGAAGUUGGAUAGUUCUGACAAGAAGUUUGGACCCGUUUUUCCCUAUGCUCUGUACUGAUUCAACUUUUGGAUAAAACACAAAAGUUAUAGCCUUAUAAAUGAGCUUUCCAAAGCCUUUUGAAUUUCUUGAUUCCGAUCUCUGAGUCAUGAGUUAUAGUCGUUCAAACAGGACCUGCUCGGUAACCUGAAUUGAAACGGCUGGAACUGUCUUGUGCAUUUUUGUCCUAGUCCCAAUGAGAUCUGGCUUGAGGUGUAUUCAUGAAAGUUGUAGCCCUUCUUCUUAGCUUCACAACGGUACCUCAUGUACUUCGAUCCGAUAAUCGUAGCCUGAAAAUUGAUCGAAACAGUUCUAAGUGCCAAAUCUGUCCAUUUCCGUUUGCCGGCCGUUCCUGUUUUCGUUUGCCAUUUCCGCGCGUGCAUGUGCCCGUUUUGCCGCUUUGCUUGAUUUAUGCACUUUAGUAGUGGUUUGUGUAAUAAUGUGGUGCAACCUUCUAUUACAGACGGUGGCGAGUUAGACGGAGCCGGUGGGGCCUACUAGCUAUCACACGCGAAGUGAUUUUCGCCCUUGUGCUAUCUUUGUGUUUUGUGUAAGUAUUCAGACCGUUUUUGUGUAUAACUUGCUUAUGUGCUUUCGUGUGGAUGAGAGGGUACUUAGGCGAGGGUGUAAUUGAUCACACUCAACCUAAACCCUAAUUUGCACUUGUGCUUCUUUAUGAAAUGUGUAUAUAUGAAUUAUUUUGGUGUUGAAUCCCUUGAACUUGUAGUUUGGGGUGACUUUUAUGAGUCCCGAUUUCAAGAUCUAAACGGACUAUUCGAGCCGGCCGGGGUUUGGUCGAAAUCAGUCCAACCUAGUCUUAAGGUCACCAAGUUUGUGGUUCUGUGAACCGAGCUUGUGAAUCAAGUUCAAUUUCGUUUCGUUUGCUCAAGCCAUUUCGUGAGGUGACAGGCCAGUGAGGGUGAUAAGGUGUUAGGUGUGAGUACAAGUGGAGUUCUACGGACCCUUAUCGGUGGUCGACGGAGUGUCAACAGGAGGUCAUACAUGGCACAUGACGUGGCUUUGGAGCUAACCUGUAUUCUUAACUUGUGUUGUUACUUUUAUAUUUUCGAUUUGACAUCUUUGUGACGUAAUUAUUCAUCUUAAUGUGAACCUUACGUUUUUACCCCUGUUUACUUACUAAGCAUAUAACUUACCCCUUUCCCUUGGUUUUCCUUAACAGGGGCUGACGCGUGGAAUAAUUGGCACUAUCACUAGAAUAAUUAGGCAAACAACUAAGAUGUUUUUUCUUGUUUUGGUGAUCUGAAUAAGGACCCCUCUUUGGAUCUACUUUCUACUUUUGAUUACUAGCAUAGGACAAUGUAGUAGUUUAGAUAACUCUUUUUGAGGAUGUAAAUAGAACUUUUUUGGGGUUGUAUAUAUUGUGAAUAGUACUCUUUUGAUUUAUCUAGUUUUUGUUGCUUUGUCUUUUUGAGUCCUGGCGUGGGGGCGUCACAGGUGGUAUCAGAGCGCCUAGGUUAGAGGAUUUGAGUAAUUGGGACAUACAUGAUAGGCAUUAGGAAUAUGUGAUUCUAUUUAAGAUGAAUGAUAUAUUUUAAGCUGAAAUAUCGAAGAACUGACCAAAUAAUGUUUUGUAGGUAUGGAGGCCGGAGAACCUAGUGGAUCGGGACCUGAACCGAGACCUCUAAGUGCAGGGGGCCCGGUGAACCAGGUAUUACGCCGGCGUGUGCUUCGAUAUCAGAAAAGGUUUGGGGGGCCGUAUACGUUGUGCUCACCUUUUUGCCAAAUGGACCGGCCAUGUGAGUGUCGAUACAUAUUCGGUUAUCCCGAAGAGGUCGUCCUAGCAGUGGACGACGAGCGACGUCGCCUGAGGAAGGCGGCUGAUCGUUUGGCUAGACAGCUGGAGGAGGUUAGAGAAAUUGCCCACGAGCAGGCUAUGCACAUUAGGGAUUUGGAGCAGGGCCUCCGAGUUGAGGUGGAAAGGACGGACGCUAUUCGUCGUCAGCUCUAUGACACACACCAGCACCUCUUCGCUAUGAAGGGGCAACUGAGGGAGAGGGCUCGGGUAUCAUGCUGGACUGUGAUGUCCUGUUAGAUGUGGCCGCGGAGGCACUACCACGAGCUACCGGCCCAGAGCUGAUGGACGAGAUGAACACUUUUGGUUCCGUUGGGGAUUGGGGCCAUAGGGAAGGCGCGUAGGGCCGUUGUUGGGAUUUCCUUUUGACUAUCUGGCAUGUUUGUUUUUGUUAUAACCAGUAUGCCUGGUUUCUUUUGUUAUCUGAUGGUUGACUAUAUUUUUGGAGCCGAAGUGCUAAUGUAAAUAAUGGGUUUUGUACCGACCAGAUGUCAGAUAACUUGUAUAUCUUUUAGUGUGACUUUGUAAAUAUAUGUAUAUAUUUGAAUAUAAUCUUUUGAAUUUAUAUUUUGCGUGUCUUUUGUGCAUAUGCUUUGUGUUUUUUAUUUUGUUCAUAGUUUGAAUAAUAAGUACACGUUAAGUUUCGAUUUAUAGACUUUUGAACCUAAAUGGACUCCGAUAGUCGAGAUAGAGGUAGAAGGUGAGGACGAAACCCCGAAGGAGAAAAUGAGAACGAGCCGGAUCAGGUAGCCUGAGUUAUUGUCGUUUACGCAUAGUGCUGUUAACUAGCCCGAAUGUGAGAUUCUGGUUCUGUAAUUUGAAAUUUUGACCUGGAUACACUACGAACUGGACUGAGUGGUCUUCAUCAAAGUUGUAGGCCUUUAUCUUAGUUUCGAAACGGUAUAAAUAACACCUUAAUCCGAUAAGUGUAUCUUCGGUUGUGUCCGUUACGCAAAACAACGUCAAAUCUGUCUUUUGUUUAUUAACUCAAACUUCAUUUUCGGACAUUUUCCUAGGUUGAUUUUGUACUUGUACGACAUUGAGCCGAUUGAACAGCUAUUGAAAUGGGAUGAUUUUGUGUGUGAUUUUGGGACGGAUUGAGAAAAAGAAUGAAGCCAUAAAUGGCUGAAAAAUAGGUAAAUACGAAGGGCAUGCUGCCCAAAUUUGCACUCGAGAACUAGGUAAGGAUUUGAUAACGAAUACCACUUGAACCAUCUAGGAUAUUUACGUCUUCUCUUAUUAAGGUAUAUAAGUUAGAAUUCGACCGGAACUUGUACCCUUGGAAAAAUGAAAUUUUCAACUAAUAGAAAUACAUUUUCUUUGUUAUUUCGACUCAAAUGAAGAUUUUAAAGUUUUACGAGUGAGCAUAAGUUUUACAAAUAUUUUACUUAUGUCAUUUGGUUUAAAUAUACUCUUUUCACUACCAAAACCCUAUUUAUACUUUGUACUAGUACGUAUUCGCAUUUUCUUUGAAUCACUUAAAUCUUUGAUGGUUGAAGCAUAAUGUGUUCUUUUGAUUAUAUUAGGGUUCCUUGGUGAUUAAGGGUGUUAUCCGGAAGGAUACUUUGGACGUUAUUUUGUGUAAAUAGGUGAGUGUUCUUUGUUUGAUAUGUUUCCAUGAAAUAUAUGAUUUGUUGUGGAUAUUUGAUUAAAUGAUAAAUGUUUGUUACAAAUGAAGUUUCCUAGGCGAGUGUGUACUUUAUCGCACUCAACCUGAAUGAAUGUGAAAUUUUCUAUGAUUAAAUGAUUAAAUGCUAGUUGCGCAUGAAUGUUAGCCGUUUGGUUGAACUGGACCCUUGCCCUUCGUUGCCGGUCAACUCGAGUCAGAAGCGGACUCGGUCGGGCGAUUUGGUGACCCUGGGUGAAAGUUUGGUAUACUCGAGUAUUACCACGUUGUCGGGUGGAGUCUGGCUAAUGUCCAGAAGGGAGAAGAUUGAAAUGAAUGAACGAGUGACAAUGUCAGUGGAGGGGUUUUCGUGUACAAAUUGCAUUUUAAAAUGAUUGGAGGAAUAAGGAAAUGAAAGGUGAAUGAAGGAACGAAAGGCUCCAUGUGAGGAUGUAUCCUUUUAAUGAAUGUGUUACCAUUGUUUUAUAUUGUUAAUGUUUCUUGAAUUACGUGUUGUUACAUGACUAAUGUUCUUGUUUAAGUUGAUUAUGUGUCUGGAAUCUCACUGAACUUUUAGCUCAUUCCGUUAAUUUUGUUUUCCUUACAAAGGAUGCGAGUAAGGGCGAAAGACCUAUAUAGAAUAACAUCGUCUAGUCCUUUUGAAAUUGUCCAUUUGUACCCGCUCUAGUGUUUGAUUAGGGUUGGAAGUAUUGGAACUUAAAUCUUUUGUUAUAUUUGGGUUGUAUUUUUUUGCGAGGAAGAAAUGAAUAUAAGUAUGCGUUUCAACUUUGGGAAUUGGUUUUGUUUUACUUUUUCUCGAGGUUUUAUCUUAUUUUGUUGAAGUAAAUGAAAGAGUCCCGGCGAGAGUUGGGCAGAGCGGCCGCUGAACCCUUUGGUUCGCCUUAGGGGGAGGUGGGGCCGUCACAGUUAGUCCUUAAGCGAACACACCAUUUAAAUUUGAAGCAUAAGCUAUAAGCUAUGAACCAAGUAUCCGCACUAUGCUUAUUAUAGCAACUACUAAUAAUGUGGUGCAAAAACUUGUGACGGCCCCACCUCCCCCAAGGCGAACCAAAGGGUUCGGCGGCCGCCUGCCCAACUCUCGCCGGGACUCGUUCAUUUACUUCAACAAAAUAAGAUAAAACCUCGAAGAAAAGUAAAACAAAACCAAUUCCCAAAAUUGAAACUCAUACUUAUAUUCAUUUCUUCCUAGUGCAUACUUAUACUCGAGUCAGAAGCGGGUACAAAGUUGAAACGCAUACUUAUAAUCAAGCACUAGAGCGGGUACAAAUGAAAAAUUUCAAAAGGACUAGACGAUGCUAUUCUAUAUAGGUCUUUUGCCCUUGCUCGCAUCCCCUGUAAGGAAAACAAAACUAACGGAAUGAGUUAAAAGCCCAGUGAGGUUCCAGACACAUAAUCAACUUAAACAAGAACAUUAGUCAUGUAACAACACGUAAUUCAGGAAACAUUAACAAUAUAAAACAAUGGUAACGCAUUCAUUAAAAGGAUACAUGCUCACAUGGAGCCUUUCGUUCCUUCAUUCACCUUUCAUUUCCUUAUUCCUCUAAUCAUUUUAAAAUGCAAUUUGUACGUGAAAACCCUUCCGAGUAUACCAAACUUUUACCCAGGGUCACCAAAUCGAGUAUACCAAACUUUUACCCAGGGUCACCAAAUCGCCCGACCGAGUCCGCUUCUGGCUCUAGUCGACCGGCAACGAAGGGCAAGGGCCCAGUUCAGCCAAACGGCUUACAUUCAUGCACAACUAACGUUUAAUCAUUGAAAAUUUCACAUUCAUUUAGGUCGAGUGCGAUAAAGUACACACUCGCCUAGCAAAAUUCAUUUGUAACAAAUAUUUAUCAUUUAAUCAAAUAUCCACAACAAAUCAUAUAUUUCAUGGAAACAUAUCAAACAAAGAACACUCACAUAUUUACGCAAAAUAACGUCCAAAGUAUCCUUCCGGAUAACACCCUCAAUCACCAAGGAACUCUAAUAUAAUCAAAAGAACACAUUAUACUUCAACCAUCAAAGAUUUAAGUGAUUCAAAGAAAAUUCGAAUACGUACUAGUACAAAGUAUAAUAGGGUUUUGGUAGUGAAAAGAGUACAUUUAAACCAAAGGAUAUAAGUAAAAUAUUUGUAAAACUUAGUCUCACUCGUCAAACUUUAAAAUCUCCAUUUGAGUCGAAGUGACAAAGAAAACGUAUUUCUAUUAGUCGAAAAUUUCAUUUUUCCAAGGGUACAAGUUUCGACCGAAUUCUAAUUUAUAUGCCUUAAUAAUAGAAUACGUAAAUAUCCUAGAUGGUUCAAGUGGUAUUCGUCCUCAAAUCCUUACCUAGUUCUUGAGUGCAAAUUUGGGCAGCAUGCCCUUCGUAUUUACCUAUUUUUCAGCCAUUUAUGACUUCAUUCUUUUUCUCAAUCCGUCCCAAAAUCACACACAAAAUCAUCCCAUUUCAAUAGCCGUUCAAUAGGCUCAAUGUUGUAUAAGUACAAAAUCAAUCUAGGAAAAUGUCCGGAAAUGAAGUUUGAGUUAAGAAACAAAAGACAGAUUUGACGUUGUUUUGCGUAACGGACACAACCGAAGAUACACUUAUCGGAUUAGGGUGCAAUUUAUAAUGUUUCGAAACUAAGAUAAAGGCCUACAACUUUGAUGAAGACCACUCAGUCCAGUUAGUAGUGUAUCCAUGUCAAAAUUUCAAAUUACUGAACCAAAAUCUCACCCGAAAAUUUUCCCAUUUUCUAGACCUUAUUUUAUUUUUGCCUACAUUUUUAUACUUGCCUUUACAAUAUUAAAGUUUCUAUGCAUUUUUAUAAGCAAGUACAGUUUUAAAUCAUUUUCCUAGUAUGAGUUAGUGUACGUUAAAUUUGAAACGCAUUAUAGACGUGGGACCCGCUAGUGCGAUAAAUUUUGGUGAUUAAGAGUGAGUUUUAGAUUAUAUUAAGAAUAUGAUUAGAAGUGAUAAUAAUAAGGUAGUGAAUUACAAGUUAAAACCCUAGUAUAUGCGAUUUAGGGAAAAUCAGUUCAAACCGACGAGUGCCGUUCACUACCGAUUGAACACACAAUUUUUAUCAAGUUAAUCUCUUUGAUAUUAGAGCUUAAAUAUCAGCUCAAAAUCUGAUCUUGAGGGCCGAAAUUUUUGACUUGGAAAACAAGAGAAAAGAAAAAAAAUUUGGAUUAACCAAAGUGUGACACUUGUUGGUUACUUAGAGACCUUUGACCAAGCCAAUUUUCUUUACUUCUUAUUUUCACUUUGGCUCCAUUUCUUCACCAUUUUUCCUUGGUUUGGCCGAGAGCAAGAAAGGGAGAAAGAGUGAAGAGAGCUUUCCAUUUCAACCUUGAAUCAAGCCUUGUGAGUGAAAAUAAGAACAACUAAACCGAUUAACUUGUAAAUUGGAAGCUUGGGAAGCUUAGGGAACUAAAAAUUUUAAGGGGAAGUGAAGGAGAACACUAGCAAGCUCUGGUUUUGAGGUAAAAUGGCUGACGACUCUUUUCUUUUCCCUUAAUCAUGUUGGAGUUGUUUAGUAUUUGUGAUUGUGAUGCUUAAAUCAAGGGAAUUUGGAUGAUUGGGGUGAUGCAUUUGAGUUACAGUUUGAAUGAUUCCCUUCUCAUACUUGUUGUAUGGAUGGUAUAUGAUGUAUAUAAGCUUGUAUAUGAGGUGGUAGUGAUGGUUUUAAACUAGAAAUGUGAAUUGUACUUUGACUUCCUAAAUUUCCAGAAUUUAAUUUCUUGCAUACCCUGUUCUGCCCGGUUCUAGUUCACCAUGUUAAAGGCUGAAUUAUGCUUAACCUAAAACAUAAAAGUUGUAGAGAAUGAUGUUUUAUAGUUGCCUGCAAAAUUUCAUCUCAAUCGGAGCAACGUAGCCUAUGAAAAGACCGAAAUACCCUGACUGCCCUUGGUGACUCCAGUGAUCAAUUUUGGAUAUUUCACCAAUCUAGUCGUGUCUUUUCACCAUGAUAUGUACUGAACUAGUAUUUAUCCAAAACAUGAAAGUUGUAGUACUAUGUCUUAGCUUUCCAACGCCCCUGAGAACACCUCAAUCGGACUUCGGUAGCCUGAGUUAUUGUCGUUUACGCAUAGUGCGGUUAACUAGCCCGAAUGUGAGAUUCUGGUUCUGUAAUUUGAAAUUUUGACCUGAAUACACUAUGAACUGGACUAAGUGGUCUUCAUCAAAGUUAUAGGCCUUUAUCUUAGCUUCGAAACGGUAUAAAUUGCACCCUAAUCCGAUAAGUGUAUCUUCGGUUGUGUCCGUUACGCAAAACAACGUCAAAUCUGUCUUUUGUUUCUUAACUCAAACUUCAUUUCCAGACAUUUUCCUAGGUUGAUUUUGUACUAGUACGACAUUGAGCCUAUUGAACGGCUAUUGAAAUGGGAUGAUUUUGUGUGUGAUUUUGGGACGGAUUGAGAAAAAGAAUGAAGCCAUAAAUGGCUGGAAAAUAGGUAAAUACGAAGGACGUGCUGCCCAAAUUUGCACUCGAGAACUAGGUAAGGAUUUGAGGACGAAUACCACUUGAAUCAUCUAGGAUAUUUACGUCUUCUCUUAUUAAGGUAUAUAAGUUAGAAUUCGGCCGAAACUUGUACCAUUGAAAAAAUGAAAUUUUCGACUAAUAGAAAUACGUUUUCUUUGUCAUUUCGACUCAAAUGGAGAUUUUAAAGUUUUACGAGUAAGCAUAAGUUUUACAAAUAUUUUACUUAUGUCCUUAGGUUUAAAUAUACUAUUUUCACUACCAAAACCCUAUUUAUACUUUGUACUAGUACGUAUUCUCAUUUUCUUUGAAUCACUUAAAUCUUUGAUGGUUGAAGCAUAAUGUAUUCUUUUGAUUAUAUUAGGGUUCCUUGGUGAUUGAGGGUAUUAUCCGGAAUGAUACUUUGGACGUUAUUUUGCGUAAAUAGGUGAGUUUUCUUUGUUUGAUAUGUUUCCAUGAAAUAUAUGAUUUGUUGUGGAUAUUUGAUUAAAUGAUAAAUGUUUGUUACAAAUGAAUUUUGCUAGGCGAGUGUGUACUUUAUCGCACUCAACCUAAAUGAAUGUGAAAUUUUCAAUGAUUAAAUGAUUAAAUGCUAGUUGCGCAUGAAUGUAAGCCGUUUGGCUGAACUGGGCCCUUGCCCGUCGUUGCCGGUCGACUCGAGCCAGAAGCGGACUCGGUCGGGUGAUUUGGUGAUCUUGGGUGAAAGUUUGGUAUACUCGAGUAUUACCACAUUGUCGGGUGGAGUCUGGCCAAUGUCCAGAAGGGGGAAGAAUGAAAUGAAUGAACGAUUGACAAUGUCAAUGGAGAGGUUUUCGCGUACAAAUUGCAUUUUAAAAUGAUUGGAGGAAUAAGGAAAUGAAAGGUGAAUGAAGGAACAAAAGGCUCCCUGUGAGCAUGUAUCCUUUUAAUGAAUGUGUUGCCAUUGUUUUAUAUUGUUAAUUUUCCUGAAUUAUGUGUUGUUACAUGACUAAUGUUCUUGUUUAAGUUGAUUAUGUGUCUAAGGAAAACCAAGGGAAAUGGGUAAACUAUAUGCUUAGUAAGUAAACAGGGGUAAAAACGUAAGGUUCACAUUAAGACGAACAAUUACGUCACAAAGAUGUCAAAUCGAAAAUAAAAAAGUAACAACACAAGUUAAAGAUACAAGUUGGCUCCAAAGCCACGUCAUGUGCUAUGUUUGACCUCCUGUCGACACUCCGUCGACCGCCGAUAAGGGUCUGUAGAACUCCACUUGUACUCCCACCUAACACCUUAUCACCCUCACUGGCCAGUCACAUCACGAAAUGGCUCGAGCAAAUGAAACGAAAUUGAACUUGUUUCACAAGCUCGGUUCACAAACUUGGUUCACAGAACCACAAACUUGGUGACCUUAAGACUAGGUUGGACUGGCUUCGACCAAGCCUCGGCCCGCUCGAAUAGUCCGUCUAGGUUUUGAGAUCGGGCCCCACAAAAGUCACUCCGAACUACAAGCUCAAGGGGUUCAACACCAAAAUAAUUCAUAUAUACACAUCUCAUAAAGAAGCACAAGUGCAAAUUAGGGUUUAGGUCGAGUGUGAUCAAGUACACCUCGCCUAAGUACCCUCUCAUCCACACCAAAGCACAUAAGCAAGUUAUACACAAAAACGGCUUGAAUACUUACACAAAACACAAAGAUAGCACAAGGGCAAAAAUCACUUCGCGUGUGAUAGCUAGUAGGCUCCACCGGCUCCGUCUAACUCGCCACCGUCUGUAAUAGAAGGUUGCACCACAUUAUUACACAAACCACUACUAAAGUGCAUAAAUCAAGCAAAACGGCAAAACGGGCACAUGCACACGCGGAAACGGCAAACGAAAACGGAAACGGCCGGCAAACGGAAACGGGCAGAUUUGGCACCUAGAACUGUUUUGAUCAAUUUUCAGGCUACGGUUAUCGGAUCGAAGUGCAUGAGGUACCGUUCUGAAGCUAAGAAGAAGGGCUACAACUUUCAUGAAGACACCUCAAGCCAGAUCUCAAUGGGACUAGGACAAAAUGCACAAGACAGUCCCAGCCGUUUCAAUUCAGGUUACCGAGUAGGUCCUGUUUGAACAACUAUAACUCAUGACUCAGAGAUCGGAAUCAAGAAAUUCUAGAGGCGUUAGAAAGCUCAUUUAUAAGGUUAUAACUUUUGUGUUUUGACCAAAAGCUGAAUCAGUACAGAGCAUAGGGAAAAAUGGGUCCAAAGUUCCUAUCAGAACUGUCCAACUUCAAAGGCAGUUCUGACACUCGAUUUUGUUUUGGGUAUAACUAGAGCUACGGAACUCGGAUUUGGACGCACUUUAUACCGUUUUGAAACUGAAACAAAGAUCUACAAGUCUUAUGAAGACCUCAACACCCAGUUCCUUCGUUAUCAAUGUGAACUGAGCACGGUCAGAAGCAAAAUCAAGAAACUUAGCACAAUUCAGAGUUUAGAACAGAAACGAGGGUUUUGGCCAUAACUCAGGCUACACAGAUCCGUUUGACCUGAAAUUUUGCAGGCACAACAAGCACUUAAGAAGAUAUAAUUUUCAUGUUUUGGGCAAACCCUAAAUCAGUACGUAGCACAAAGAAAAAUGUAGCCAAAGUUCAGAUUCUGGGCUGCCUUGUUUUCCAGUUUAACCGGUUUCGCACGUCGCAAACGCAUGGUCCGUUGCUAUGGUUCUCAUGCAAGUUUUCUAACCAAUUUCAUACCAAAUAAACACACAUAUACCAGCUCCUACAUCUUACACAACUAAUCCAAAGAUUCUCCAUGAAAUUCCACAAAAACUUUCCAAACACGAACCACAAUUUUGAACCUAGCGUUAUAUACAUCACUUAACCUAAUCCAACCAUUACUUAGCCAAACCCUAUCCAACCAAACCCUAACCAAGCUAAUACACCCUAUCUUAACCUAGGGUUUUUUUAUUCAAACCAGCCCUUGCUAUCAACCAACCAAACAAAUGAGGCAAAUCAUCAAACAUAUCAAUUGCAAGUUAAACAACACAAGAUUAGAACUAAUUCACAUGUGCAUCAUUAAACCCUAACUAGGGCAGCCAUAACCAAAAGUUUUGGAGCAAUAAACCACCAAUAUAAUCCAUGGAAACAUCUCACCAUCACUUCAUAAGCCAUAUUAAGGCUCAACAACAACCAUACACUUCAUUUCCAACCAUCUCAAAAAUCAUAAACCAAACUUAAACUUGCAAGAGCUUUCUUACCUUCAAACAAGGUUGAUAAGGGUGCAAACUACUACAACAAGCUCUCAAAGAGGUUCCUCCAAGCUCCAACUUCAAGAUUGAUGGACAAAAGUUGAUGCACCAAAGAAAUUUUUCUUCUCUUCUCAAGCUUCAAGUUUCGGCCCUCUCUCCCUCUUUCUCCUUUUGGUUUUUGUUUUGUUUAUUUCUUAUGAUUAUCUAGCAAAUCUUAUGAUAUAAAUUUAGUCAAAGCAUUAGAAGAUAUUUUCCCUAAUAACCAAUCACAUAAAAGCUUCAAUUUUGCUCUUUAGCCCUUACACUCCAACUUUGCAUGUGAUCAACUCUUGCCCCUAAACAUUUGAACUUCUUACUUUUUACUCCAUAGGAUCUAAACUUAAUCUAGUCCAAACUAAUUAAUCUUACUUAGUUUCUCUACUAAUCACCCCACUAACUUAGUCAUCUGUAUUUAACCAUGUAUUAACAUACACAAAUGCAAGUAAACACCAAACUUUUUGUCAUGGGAAAUAUUAAGGGUUUAAACCCAACUUAGGAUUCUAAUAAAUCAUAACACUAGAGAUUUUUUUCUAGUUUAGGGUUUUCUAAGGUUUUAAACUUACUUAACCUAUAUAAAAUGGAUCAGAUCUUAUACUUACCUGUACGAAAACACACACUAGCAUAACUACAACUCGAACUUAUGAUUAAUACAAAAACUAGGGUUUCAAUUCCUAACCCAAAUUAGGGUUUUCUAAUUAGCCCUAAAACCCAAUUUUACCGCACAAAUAAUUCAUCUCACAUACUAUCAAACUUAAGGACUAACCGGGGUCUCACAGAGAUGUUAUUGAUCUGUCUCUGGUCCCUGCUGAUGAGCUCAAGUUCCUUCUCUUUUGACAGCUUGAUGUAUCAGCUGUGCUAUUGGUUGUCAUCAACUAUCGUGCCAAUUGGUUGAAUUUGAAGGCCAAAGGUUUGUUUUACUGAACCUUUAUUUUUACUCAUUAAAUUGCAUGUGUUAUUUCCUUGUGCUACUAGAUUCCUUAGCACCAUGCAUGUUGAUAAUUAUCUCUUCAUUUCAAGUCGUAACAAUUGAGCAUUGCAUCAUUUUCUCCUACAUUCUUUCCCUUAAUUGUGGCUAAUUCCUUGGACUUAUUCUAUUAGCCUUGGAAAUCUAACUUUCUAACUCAAUGACUUAACAAAUUGGUUCUUUCUGGAGCUUUGUAAAAUGUCUAAAUGAGACAAGGUGAUAACAUUGUAGGUUGUCUAUUGAUUAAGUAUGGGAGAGCUUUGGUUAUGUUAAACUGGAGCAUUGAAGCUUAAUAUGGUACUUUUCUUUGGAUGCAUUAUUUUCUUUGAUAAAGUUUAGCUUUAUGCCUUUUUAUUUGUGAGACUUUUACCUUUACCUUCUAUGCGUAUAUCUUUCCAAAAACUUAGGCUUGAUUUUAAAAAUAAAAAGAUCGGAACUAGAAAGCCUUUUAAUAAAUGCAUCUGUCAAUUUUAACUCUAUUGAAGCUGGAAAAUAGAGUGAAGGAGCACAUGUUGUUUCAUGCUUAAUGUGGCAUUUCCCCUCCCGUUCUACACAAUAACAACCUGAACUCUUGUACCCUUUACAGGAAACAGAUGAGCAUCGGAAAAAUGUACCUUGGGGUAAGUUUUUUCUCAUUCUCUAGGAAUUGCUUGUUUAUAUUAAUCUUUUCUUUCUUUCAACUGCUCUUGAAAGAUUUUGAUUUCUUGAACAAAAGAAGAAUUAGAGAGCCAGAUUAGUUGACUUGUUAAGUUGGUCAACUGACUGAUUCACUGCCAAAACCUUGUUAUAUGAUGUGUGCUUGCUUCCUGAUGAACUUUUUUUUUUUUCAAGUGUAACAAAAGCUUGAUCAGAUAAUGAUACUUUGUGUUAUUGUAUGUAUUUAGAUAUGAGGAUAACAGAUAUGUAACCCCACCAAAGGUUCAUUGUACUCUAGAUGGAUAAUAGUCAUUCUCAGGUCCUUAGCUUAACUUUGUACUUCAGUGAAUUGGUCAAACUAUUACAAAUAAUGUGAAAUUUUGCUUUAGUUUUCUGCACGAGACUAAUAUAUGGCAAAUAGUAGCUCCCUAUAACUGUCAUUUAUGCGAAGACCAAUUUGUAGAUGCAGGGACACUACUACUUUGCAUUGGCGGCAAUAGGGAUAAUACAUUGCAGUGAAUCUGAGUAUGAUAUAUUUCUCCAGGUUGUUCCUAACUAUUGUUUAGUACUUCCCAAGUAAUUCUCGUACUAAUGCAUUCCCACGAAUAUAUAAGAAAUUUGCAACAAAUUCAAGAAAAAAUCCAGGCACUUCGCAGCAUACUCAGACAGAAAUCUGGGCAUCCUCUUUUUUUGUAAAACUAGUCUAUAUAUAUAUAUAUGACGACCCUUGGUCUGUGAGAGUGUUAGCAAAACUUGAUUUCAGUUUUUGUGACACCAAAAUUGCCCUUAACACCAAUAAAUAGACAAUUUACGUUGCAUUUCCUUAAUAAUUAAUAAGAAUUAUGUAACAGUUACAAAGAAACAUUCCCCUGAGUUGUGGUGAAUUAAAUCAAGAAAAAAAAACCAAUUCAUUGUAUUUCAUCAAUAAUUAAUAUCAAUUAUGCCAACAGUUACAAGAAUGAAAAACAUUCCCUCAAGUUUUGGUGAAUUACAUUUUAAAAAAAGAGAACAAAUUUUAUUUAUAAAUUAUUAAAAAGAUGGUGAAAGUUUUUGUGAUGCCAAAAUUACACUCUUCUCUAGUACAUGGACAAAUUGCAUUGCAUCUCAUUGCUAAAUAAUAUCGAACAUGCUAGUCAUUACAAAAAUGAAAGAUUCCGUAAUGUUAUUUUAUUUUAAAAAAAAAAAGAAGAAGAAAUGUUAUUUACAAAAUAUUCAAGUUUAAAGGGUACUUUAGUCUUUAAAUAUGAAAUAAAACAUAAUAAAUUGGUAUUGUGAAUCUCUUAAAAAAUAUCACGAGUUUUAAGGGCAUCUUUUUACUAUGCAUAUAUUAGUAUUGAGUACAAGGGUAGGCAAAGAAUAAUAGUACAAAAAAUUAAAUAAUAGGAGAUAGAAAACAAGGGUAGGCAAAGAAUUUUAUGUUGGAAUUUUUUUAUUUAAAAUAAAAUAAAUUUUAAUUUAAUGAACUUUAUUAGUGGUAUUCUUAUAACAAUUGACAACAUUAAUCUACAAUUAUUGAAUAUUAUAUACAUAAAUGACAGUUAUAAUAAUAGUUACGAAAGUGAAACAUCCCUUUGAGUUUUGGUGAAUUAAACCAUAUAUAUAUAAAAAAUAAAACAUCCUAUUUCAAAGGGUACUUCAAAGGUGAAUAAAAAUAUAUCAAAGUUUAGUUUGACUAUUAUAUAAUAAAUAAUCUUAGCGGCUUACAAUUUUUAAUCAUAUAAACUCUAUAAUGAUAAAACAUGUCAUUGAUGACAAAUACAAAUAAGUUUCACUAAGUCAAAACAUUUCUCAUCCAAGUUAAGCUAUUUAAAUUAGAACAUCAUUAUAUUUAAAUACUAUUAUAAUUACAAUAGCACUAUAGAUCAUUUUAUGAUUCACCAUUAGCAAAAAGAAAAAAAAAAGAAAGAAGAGUUCACUAAAACCAAUAAAAAAGUUCAUAGAAUGACUUAAAGAGAAACAACAAAUUAUUCAAAAAGUUAAAAAUUUUAACUCAAAUGACAUAAAAGAUAGGCAUUCAAAUCAUCCAAAUUUAAUACAAAGACAAAAACAUUGAUACUGUUACAAAAUAAAAGUACUCUUGGGAUAAAGGAUGCUUUAUUGCUUGUGCAUUUGUGGUAGUUAGCACAAAUCAAGUUCAGAAAAAAAAAAAUAUAAAUAUUAAACAUUACUUUUUUUGGUCUCAAUUACAAUUAUUCCUUCAAAGUAUGAUCUUCGCGUGCAAAGUAUGUGCUCCAUUAUUAGUAUCCUAAAGAGUUAGUAGGGCCUUAAAUAUUCUAUAACAAAUGAGAAAGUUGACUUUGAGAAAGAAAUAGGCAUUCUAAGUGUCAUGAUAACAUCAAAACGAAAACAUUGGACUUUUUAGCAAGAGGCAAGGAGGAGCAUCGAGGAUUGCCAAUGCUGCCGGUUCAGUUAAGCCAAUAACUCGCUAUACAUAUAGUUAGUCAAGAAGACAGAAAAAAGGUGCACGAGCCAUUAUGAUCAUCUAGCUGGGUAACAAACUCAUAUGGGUGUUGUUCUCUUUUACUGCCAUACUGUUGCUUGAUGGACUAGCAGCUGUUUCCAGUUUGGAAAAUGAGAAAUUAGCUCUUGCUUCGGCAAUUUCACCCUAAAAAGCCUCCGGCUGGCGCUGCAGUUAUUCUUUUCUGUUCCAGUUGCAGGCUCAUGAGAAUUGCAAGUCAGCUUGCACUAAAGUUACAUAAAGCAGGAUUGUUCAAGCCUUUGACAUGUCUGGGUUAAUAUAGGGUCAGAAAGACAACAGUUUUGGUUCACUAACUUGACAAUGUCCAGGGAUGCUUUAGCAAAUAGGAGAAACGGCAAAGAUUUAACAUGAGCGGUCUGAAGAAUUAGCUAAAUGCUUGGAGCUUGGUUUCGGUGCAUACAUCCAUUGGGUGUUAUAAUGACUUUUUUAACUUUUGGAACAUUGGAAAUCCCUGUUAAAUCAAAUGAUAUCGCUUUUUAUGUGCUUAAUAGGAGUUAAACAAUUGUACAAGUUCUAAUAGUUGAUAUAAAAAGAUGCUUCUGCAGUUUCUCAACUUCUAAAUAGGAGUUAAAAAAUGAUAUCACUUUUUUGUACUUUUUGUUUUAAGUUAGGCCAGGAGUGGACUUGUAAGGUUGUUGAUGACACAUGUUGUAGUGAACAACAGAAUGGACUGCGAUCUUUCUUGCCCUCUGUAAAUUCCUGACUUUCAUGGAUACAUAGCAAAAGCUAUAAAAAUGUUUUAUUAUUUACCAAACUUCUAAAUCAGGAGCAGGAACUUCUUGAUCUUUGGUUGCUUGAAAUUUCUCAUGUUGACACUUUAGCUGUCAUUUCUGCCUUGUGUUUUGCGUAAUAACAUCUGCUCCUCAUAUUCUCCACUGAAAUCAUGUCUCGGGACAAUUUGCUUCAUGGUUGUAAUGGUUCAACUAGCUGCGUUUAAGGUCCAAACGAAAGCAUGACCUUGAGAAAUUGAUUCCAAGUUUGGCUGCUGCAAACAGCUUACAACGGAAGCAAAGGAUAUUCUGCAGCACAGCCCCCGGGCGAAGGGGCACCCCGGGAGGGGUGGGGGGCGCAGUGUUAUUAACCCUAAAAUUUAGUCUGGAGUUUCUAGCAACCAUCACCCUGAUGGCAGAGGGUUACAGACAAAAACUUGUGAGUUUCUGUACCUGAGGCUAGUGGACAGAAGAAAAACUAAGAAGUGGCAUUCUGCAUUUGAACAAGUUUUGGCUGAGUGAUUUAAAUAAAUUUGGACUUUCAAAAGGUUCAAAAAAGCUUUUAUUCCUGUCAAUCCAAAGAUCCCAGCAGACAUAACCAAAGAAAGUGCUCGAAGACAAUUUAGAAGAAUUUGCAACUGAAAAUUUUUUACCUCCAAACUUAAACCGGUCGAUAAAAAGCAUCUGAGCGACACGAGAAUCAGUAAUGGGAAAGGAUAAAGAAGACCAGAGGCUAAUAGCUUUAGCAUAGCACAGCUUCUAACAAUAUGUUCUACAUUCUUAACUGGAGCGCUACCAAAAACGCUAGAACCGUUUGAACAAUAGAUCUUUUGCCCAACGCCUCUAGAAGCUAGUCUCUAUUGUUGGCUACGCAACUAGAAGAAACGUUUGAUCUUGGUGGCAGCUUUAAUCUUCCAAACCGAAGCAAUGCUAGGAUCAUUAGGAGAGGAAAGAAAGUUGCAGUCAGUUGCCAGAUCGUAGGCCCCUUUAGAAUUAAACUUACCAUCACAAGAAGUGCCCGGAAUAAGAGAGUCAUGUCUUGGUUACUCAUCUGUCUAGGAAUAGCUUUGAUCAUAGACAUGAUAUCCUCUUCCCUACACCUAAUAGGGUCCCUGAACUCAACUUCAGAUAGGACCUACCCCCAACCAGUUUUCCAACGAAAAUCUGACAACUUCUCCAUUCUUGAUCAACCACUUAGAUCCAGCAUUAUACAACUGUAGACCUCUGUGUAAAGCAGCUUUACUCAUGGAGCUAGGACACCUCUUAAAAUUGUGUUAAUUUGGUAAUAGGAAUUGUUAUUAAACUUCGUUUUGUUAUUUUACUUAUUCAUGCCACCAAUUUCUCAUAUACUUAUUCUUUUAGCGUGGUUAGUCUCAACUUAUCAUCUAAUUGUAAUUUAUUUGACAAAGAGAUGCAAUUUAGGCUAAAAAAUGAUGUUUUGCCAAAAAGUGUUUUCAUAGAAUUUUAUAAGGAUUCAGGAGCUCAAUUGUCAUAUAUUCAAUUCAAUUCACAUUACAUUUUAUCUUAAAACCUGUAAUUAUAACUACUUGAAACUUUGAUCAAAACUUCAAAAAUUAGGAACUAAAAAUGCAUUAUCAAAACUUUUGACAAAUGCCAAUUUAAAUUGACCCUUAAUUAUUGUAAUUUUUCAUUAGUUAUCCUAAAUUUGCCUGACAUAAAAAAAUAUAGGAGGCUAGAUUUGUUUUUCAUGAAGCAUUAGGGAUCAAUUUGACACACAGGCCGAAAUUUGAGAGCCAGAACUGUACUUCUCCCUCUUUGUUGUCAUACGUAUAGCCGUUAACUACAGUACAUGGUCAUUAAACUAAAAGAAAGUAACGUAUAUAGACAGGCAAUGAUUUACAAAAGACUAUUACUGAAGGCCAAUCUGAAGUACUCAGAAGUGAAAAUGAAAGAAUCUUAUUCAAUCAUUUCGCUAGAUGGUCUCUUAAGCUCAAUGUGCUCCGAGCAAUAGGCAUGUAUCAUCAAUUACACAGAUAAGUUUCGGUUGGACCUUUCAAUUCUUUCACAUUUGAUUCUCAAAUAAAGGAAACCCAUACACAUCAUUACAGAAUAGCUGCUACGGUUGGUACAAAAUAGUUUUCUUGCAAAAGCAAUUUAAUAACUUAUAAAAUAAAUUGCCAGCACAAAUAUACUCAAUAAGGAAAUAGAAAAAAUCAUUACCAUAUCUUUAUGCAUUUCAUAUGCAGGCAAAAACAACAGAUAUAAUUAAAGCUCUUGAAGUUCAACUGCCGCACUGCAUACGGUUUGAACACACAAACUCUAUCAUCUGUUUGACUAUUCAUGAAGAUAAUCAUAUACAGAGAAGUCACUAUACAGCAGAGAGCCAUUUGCAUAGUGAAGCAUGUAAUAGCAAAGAUCACAGAAAUAGCAAGGGUUCUCCAGAGCCCAUUUGUCAUCGACUGUAACCUUGGUCGCCUUAUAAAUCUUGCAAAUCGAGCAUUUUCUAAAACGCAAUUUAGAUUGAAAGGUUAUCAGUGGAUACGAGGCUCUGCUCUGUACAUCCUCUGGGUGGAUCAACCUCAUGUCUCUAAUGACAAUUAGGUGUUUGCAAUCCCCCUUGAGCACAAUAAGAUGAGCAAAAUUAGUCCAUGACACAGCUAAACAAUUGAACACGUGGGACAGUUCAAAAAGAAAUCAUAAAAGUAGGUGAACUGGCAGAAAACAGAGGAAGGAAGAUAUGAUGUUCAUAAUAUGCCAUUUUGGGUCCAGGAAGGGCUGGGAUUGCUGGCUGGGGGAAAAUUUCCUAGGACUAAAGCCAACUAGGAGUUAUCAUGGAACUGGGAUUACCACAUCAGUGUCUUGGUUGAAUUUUGUUUAUAGUUUAAUAGUGUUUUUGUCGAUGUAAUUAGCCUGCUGACUCUUUGUAUAAGCUGAUUUUCUGAUCAAUGAAAAGUAAAUGUUUGCUCAAAAAAAAAACAAAGUUCAUGAUAUACUGACCAGUUUUCUGACCAGCAUGAAAUUAUGAAUACGAAAUAGUGCAACAUAAAAUCAGCAGAAAAUAAGGGUUCCAACAGUUUUCUAACUUUCCUUAACAUACAAUUCUGAUAAGGUAACAACUGGACAGAAAAGAAUAACUUCUAGAAUGAUUGUAAACAAGUAUACCUGGUGACAAUAGAGAUAUCCAGCGCCAAGUCGAAAUCCAAGGUCACAAAAGCGAGUUUUUUGCAUGUGAACAGCUUUGAAUCGUGGUAACUGUAGUUUUUCAUUGUUAUCUAGAAAUGCCUUUUGCUUCUGGUGCUGCUGUUGUUCACCAGCUACAAUGAACUCCCAUUUUUCAAGUGCAUCAUUCCUACAGUGUUCAAGCCACUUAAAAAUGGGCUUACUGUAAUCUAUUGCUGAAGGUUCCCUCGUAUCAUUGCAAAAUACAUCCUACUAAAAGUACACCUCUCUUAGGGUGAGAAAUUGAAGAACAGCCAUAGGUUUCAGCAAUGAAGAAAGCCAUUACACUCACUUACCUCUACCAGGAAGUAUCCAGAUGGAUCAUACUGGCCAGCCUUUUUCAUGAUCUCAUCAGUUAAACAAUAUAUCUUGUCCCUCACUUCAGUCAAAAACUGUCGCCCAAGAACCAAAAAUUCUUGUGUCUGCAGAAUUUAUUGCAAAAGUAUAAGUUAAAUUCAGCAGCAAGUAAAACUGGGGACAAAUAUCAAUCAAACAGAUUCUGGUAUCCACCCCCUCCUAAAAAGAAAAAAAAAAACAGAGAGAGAGACAGAGAAAAGGCCAAAAAAGAUCAAACCCAAAUCCAGGUGAAGUUCCCAAAAAACCACAUUCCACGAAAGUGAGAGUAAAGUGCAAUUCUAAACAAGUACAUUGAUUUAAUAACAAAGUGUGAUUAAGUAUAACAAAAUAUAUUUAAAUGUCUUUUGACAGACCAUUUUCACAUGCAACCAGAAACUACAUUUGGUGAUUUGAGACAAUUUCCCAGGUUAAUGUGUGUCAAUUACUCAAUGGAAAGCAAAAUAAUGCACUUCUUAGGCAUAACUAGCACAACUUUUAGUUUACAAUGGAAACUAAAGAUAGAAAGAAAAACAAACAAAAAAUAAAAUAAACGGCAGAGCUCCCAUGAGGGGGCUGCUAGUUUUCAAGGAUAUAAAGUUAAGACUAAAUAACAUAAUUCAUAAAAAUUCAGAGCCUCAAGAAGAGAUGUUCAAAACAUUCAGCUCGAGGACAAGGCAUUAUUUCCCUCCAGAGCAAUCAAGUGUCAAAUUACAAGAUGAUCAACUCUAGGAGAAAAUUAAAAUAAAUACAAACUCAAAAAAUCUCAUAAACUAGAAAAGGAUCCAAGAUAUUACAACCACUAUAGUCCUUGUAAGCUGUGUGCGCAUAUUGUCUAGUCCAGCUAUCCUCAAUUUGUUUUUAUUGUAAGAGUAGUCUCACCAAGACAUGAAUAAGAAGCAAUUGGUGAGAAACCCAGCAUUUCUAAGGACCAAACUUUACAUACUAAGAAGAUAAUUGUACAUGUGAGGCACUAGAGUUAGAAGCUCUCCCUUAAAGAUAGCACAAGGCAUUAUGAAAAUCCUGAAACCACUUAACUAAAUAACAAAUUGCACCAAUACAUUAGGAUUUCCAUGCAAUCAUUUAAUGAGUCUUUCCAGCAGCAGAAUGCUGGUUACACACACCUAAAGGAAGACCCUAAAAUUUGUACUACAGAAUGCACAUACAUAGGAGUUACAAGUCCUCACCAAGUAUCAGAAUGGACAUGUUACUUCAGGUUUCAUCUGUUGAACAGCACAAGUACUAGCGGAAUAGCACCACCUUAAUAAAGUUGAAACCACAUGUGAAAAUUCUAUUCAUGACAAAAAUCAACUCUAGGCUACAGUUUAUAUCACAAACAGCCAAAAUUUUCAAGAUAUUGGAGGCUACUGGCCAUUAAACAGCAUAAACUCAAGGAAAGCUACAAAUCACAAUACAAACAUAAUGGUACAACUUUUUCCUUAGGACAAAUCAAUGAUCAACAUAAUGUUAUAACUUUUUCCUUAGGACAGAAAUCAAUGAUCAACAUAAUGGUAAUAUGGCACAAGUUGCUUUCUCUGCAUGAAAGGCUACCAAUUAAUUAACUCUAACUGCUGAAUAUCUGAGGUAUGAGCAAAAGAAUUUGCCUAACUUGGUGUUUAAUGCGCAACAAGACAGUAGAAGAUAACAACCAUCCAGUGCUCAGUUACAAUGGGUUAUAAGGGUUUUAAGCUGCAUUUAAUCUUUUCAAAUGCACAAGGUUAUGCCAGAACAGAUGUAUGUCAAUUGGUGGUUGAAACUACUAUGGAGAGAGAGGAAAAAACAGAGCUUUGAGGGAACUGAAAGCCCUUCGUGGAGAAUGCAAUACAGCAAUGUUCAUUUUCACUUUCUUUUUUGGGCUUGUAGAAUCCAUCUCCACCUCUAUAGAUAGCUGUUGGACAAGUUUUUUAAAUAAACCGAUUGCUAUCUCAUAUACCAAUUGUAUACUUAUUUGUUAGUGAAAGGGAAUAAAAACCGAACAAACAGAGAUGAAUGAUUUGAUCCAGCUAAAGACAUUAUGAUUAAAUGAGUCAAUAUAAAAGCAUCAUCAUUUUGGAUAUACUAUGCGGCAGUACUUCACCUUAGACCAUGCUCUGCUGCGAUGGUAAACCUCAAGGCAGAGAAUAACUUCAGGAAAAUGAACUGGAACUUGCUCAGGAGCAUUGGAUAAUCUCACCUGCAAUUAAUUUAUAGGAAUUUAAACUAUCAGAACCGUGUAACAUUUUAAAAAGCAAUAAACAAUAGGAUUAAUAUGCACAGUGUCUGCAUGUUAAACCUACAAUACCUAUUACAACUUCCCAACUAUGAAAUUUACAAAAUUCACCAUCCAUUUACAUUUGUAUAUGCACAAUCUUCAUUGACUGCAAAAUUAAAUAGAUCAGAUCACUUUAUGCAUGUAAUCCAAUAAUGUUCCAAAAUAAUCUUUUAAAUUAACAACUUGCGAUAUUACUGUUUUACUUGUAUAGACCUUUAUUUAAAACUCAAACCUAAUAUUUGGUAUUAUUACCUUAGAAAUAUAUUUUCUUAUUGCAAGCUAUUAAGUGGUUAAAGAACAUUAUUUUGUACACCAAAUCCCAAUUAUAAAAGAAAUCAUCUGUUAAUGAUGAUAAAUAAUGAUGAUAAAACAGUAUAAAUGCUAUCUUCUUCAUCAUGUAUAUAUGGGAGUGCAAACCACAUAUAGCACAGACAACGACUUCAUACUGUUCUAGCAAAAAAUCACUUUAACCUUCUCAUGAGACUUGUGUAAUGGAGUCAUGUUGCACUAGCUUAGAUGCUCCUAAACAUUAAAAUGGUUUUCAGCCUUUCACCUACAGAGUAAGUCAAACUAUCAUCCACUUUGAGCAAGUUAAAGCAUUAACAAGAAACAAAAUGACGUAAAAUCCACAAAUCUAAGCAUAUGCAUACUUAAUAUCAUUUUCACAUAUAAACAAAUCCACUGUACCACAACUAGACAUCUGAUUAUAACCUUAAGCAUGUUUUCCUUUGAUUGCUUAUAUUGUCAUUUCCAUUUUUUUCAUGAAAACUAUUUAGUACCAUAUAGAAAUUAUUUGGGUAGCACAAUUAGGCCAAAACUGAAUAUAAGCAUGAAGCAACAAUCCUUCAAAGCUAGGUGCUUCCUCUCUCACCAAUUCUUCUUCAUACUAUUCCUGUUAUAGUCUUAGACAAAACAAUUUAUCAGAUCUAAAUAAUUUGUCUUCUUCUUCCAGCACCUUCUUACAGGGAAAAACCUUACUGUGUUGAAGCUUUUUUUUUUUUAACAAGGCAUACUUCAUUUAAUUUUCUAUAAUUGCUUUUUACAUUCAACAUUAAAAAGUGCUCUUCAUCACUCCCCGUUAUUUCAAUGGCUUCUGUCCAACUCAAACACCACCAUCCUUGCUAAAUAAAAAGACGGAAGGUUCUUCUGAAUGAGUACUACAUGGUCAUACUUUUAAACUAUUAAACUCCUUUUGCAACCAAAUUAAGCAACACUCCAAAAAUUUACUUGCAAAACAUAUCUAAAAAAGUUUGCCUCAGUAGAGUAAUAGAAACAGGACAUAUUUCUCGCAUAUCUAACAAUGCUAAUGUUCACUUGCUCCAAUCUGCAGGAUAAGUAAGCUAAAAACCUGAAGUGGAAAAUUAUUUUUAUUCAAAAGAAUAGUCAACUUCAUAGAAAAAUAAGAAAGAGAAAAAACCAAAUGCAUAAAGUUUCAAUCGUGGAUAGACAGCACUCAGUUUCAGAUACAUGUCAAUCAGUAAAACAAGGCAUUUAAUCAAGCAAACCUUAGGUGAAAAACUUGUUGACUUGAGUGAUGUCAUCUUGUCAUUAUUCAUCUGGGAACUAGUAGGAGAUUGAUUCCUGCAACUACCACUGCAUUGAAGCAUAAACACAAAAGCUAAGAUGCAAAUCCUAAAUACUUGAAUUUCCUAACAAGAAUGACCAGAUCUAAGAACGAAUGCACAUUUCCAAAUAUCAAAGUUAGAAAAUGCCUACUUGAAUGAAUGCAAUCUCGCUGCUGUUUUAUCUUCAUCUUGUUUUUGUUUGAUUUUUGCAAGUUCUUGCACCUUUGCAACAUAUCCUUCCUGAUAAUACAGGAGAAAAUCUCCUUAAAUCAAGUUGAGGUAAAGUUUUCCACAAAAAUCAAGGGACAAAAUUGGUAAAAUAGCAUCCCUGCUACUGCAAAUAUUUUUUCAGUUUAGCAUUUUCUUUCAUAAAUUAUAUUUCCCAAACGAGGCAAAAUCACAACAUUUUGGUUUGCUAAUUACAUGGUCCAUAUUCAGAUCCCCAAAAAUUAAUAAACAAUCUAAAAUGUUGAAUAUAUCCUAAGUAUAUCUACAAAUGUAGCCCAUAAGGAACAGACAAAGGAGAGGCGUGUAUUUUUUAAGCAGCCAAAUUCUAUCAAAUGUUGAACAACAUAAUUCUCAUUUGGAAGCAGAAAAAGAAUGCCUAUAAGGAAAAAGUACAAUAAGAAACUAGAAGCAUACUUCAAGAUCAACAGUUUCCCGAUUCACAUGCCUCUUCCUCUUCCUCUUUUGUGAAACAUUAUCAUUUGAUACUGUCUUUUCAAAGUUUCUAGGACCACCAGUUGAGGAGUCACAAGAAACUAAAGUGUCGUUUCCUCCCAACCUAGUAAUACAAGAAGUUAGAGUAGCAGAUGAAGUGCCAUUAUCUGGUUCCCUACAGAUUUGACAUCAAAACCAAAUGAAUCUAAACUCCUGAUCAAGUAGAGAAGAAAGGCCCACACAAGUCUAAGGAGACUAAAUACAUAAAGAGAUGCUAUCUGGAAAAAAAAAAUGCUAGAGGUCAUAAUCAACACAAGUAGUAGCCUUACUUCGAAACAAAGAAAAACAAAGCUGAGAUGAGAAAGUUGAAAACCUCUCAACGCUUGGUAUUGAAGUAAGUCGCUCUCAUAGAGUAAGAAAUAAAGAAAUCAGAAAAGAUUCACAAAAACAAAGAUGCCAACCAUGAAAAAGAAUCACGUGAUACUACUGCAGUCUAUUGCUUUUUCAUAAACGUAUUGCUCUUUGUGCUGGAACUUCAAUUUUAUAAUUAAAAAUUAAGUAAAAGACACCUUCCAUUUUCCUUUUCCCUUUUGUAAUAAUCAUAAGGUAUCAUUAAGAUAAGCAUGAGAUGUGUGAUGUGCAAGUGUUUUAUAGAAGUUUAUUGUCCAUUUGCUAUAAUUACAACACUCAUAAGAUAAAGAAUUUAACUUCCACUAUUUCUUGUAGUAGUCUGAGAAGAGUUUCGAGAGUUAAAAUGUUUGCACAAUCCAGAUAUGUAAACAAAGUUGAACAGAAGGCAGUGAAUGACUUUAUAUAUAAUUCUAUUUGCUUCUUAACCUUUUCAUAAGUCUCUGUGGUUCAGCUGAAAGAAAAUUCUCAUUCAACUAGCAGCAAAAACAUAUGAUUUUAGGGACAGCUUUGGAACAGUGAACAGUGACUAUGAAGAUUCCUGCAGUUAAGAAUGCCAAGCUAAACUAAAAGUAAUGAGAUUCAUUUUACAUAACCAAAACUUUCAUGAGGAUCCACUAUGCAUUAUAGUAUCUCUAAUAGGCAAGAACUGAAGCCAAAUGUUUCCAGGAAUAUUGCUGAUUUUGUUCUUUUUUAAACCAUUUAUGUACAGCACACCAUUAUCAUGUUUUAUGAAGCCAAAAUUCCAAGCUCAUCUGGCUGCCUUUUUACAUAUCCAAAGUCACAUAUCACAGCCUAUUAUGUCCUUUAUAUUAUGAUAAACCUAAAACUAACCCAACUUUUUUCCCCCACCACAAACCCAAAGACCUGUAACAUCUCUGAAAUUUCCAUUAAUCAGUAAUUUCGAUUUCACUUCACUUCAACACUCAACAAAAAAGUGAAGAAGAAAAUCUCAGGUAUUUCACCAUUCGAGAUAUAAAACAUCAAAUAAGGUUAGAAAAGAAACAAAUACAGCAAGAAGCAAUGAAUUGUCUGCUAACCUUUGACAUGAUUGCUCCUGGGAUUUUUGUGAAACAUUUUCUAUCAGCUGCCCAUCCUGUCAUUAUCCACUAAAAGUUAAGAAAAGAAUACAAAAUAAGAAACUUGGUAAUUCUGAGAAAUUACAAUUCAAAACAGCUUACCUUAAAUGCCUCUUCAAAAGCCCUAUUUACCAAGACCUCCUCGUUAAUUAUUUUAAGAUCAUUAACACUGCCAAGCCAUUAAAAGAAGAGAAAGAAAAAUUCAUAUAACAUCCAAACCAGAUAUCAUCAUUAAAGAAUGCAAAGAAACCACGACUAAUUCUGAAUACAUUGUGAAAAAUAAAAAAGAAAAGGCAAAACAAAACUGACCAAAAUUCGUCAUCAGAUAUCUCGAGCGAGUCCCAACCAAUCUCUGCCUUGAGAUUCUGCAUCAAAAACAAAUUCUUAUAAGUUUGACUAUGCAAAUAUUCCAAGGAAUUUAUAUUCCUAAAAUAAAAAAAAAAGGAUCACUAAAAAGAGCAUUAUUAAAAAAUAAUUAAAAAAAUUAAAAUUACUCUUGAAAUUCACAAUUAAAUAUAUACAUACAGUAAAAAUUCCAUAAAAUCAAUUAUCACAGUGAAAAAAUUCCUCAAAAUCAACCUUAAAAAAGCCUUUCUUCCGUAGAUGGUUAAAAUCAAUUAUCAUAGUGAAAGACUUAAUCAAAAACAACCUUAAAAAAAAAAAAAAACUUUCUUCUGUAGAUGGUUAAAAUUGUUCCCCAAUUCUUACUAGCAAAUAAUAUUUCCAUAUUAGAAAAAGCUCAAUAAAACCUUCAACAAGCCACAAUUUUCUUAGAUACUUCAAAAAUUAAAAUACCCGUAGAAAUUAGUAAAAAAGUAAAAAAACAAAUAAAUAAAUUUUUGUUUCCUUGGAUACCUGAAGUUGUUCGAAUACAGAGCUCUCAAACUCAGAAACCCUAGUGAGGCGCCCAAGCAUAUGGGGGCUAUAGAUAGGACCCCCGCAGGGAAUUGAAAUAUAUUGUUCGUCCCCGAUGCUCAGGGAUUCCGCCGCCGACAUGGGAAUAAUUAGGGGUUUCCAACUGUAUGUAGAUGCUGAGAAAUCAGGAAGUUAUAUAUGGCUAUACACAAUGGGCUGCCGGAGCAGGCCGAUAAAGAGCGUAUGGUGGCGGUGGCGGUGGCCGGUGGGGGGUCUACGCGGGAAAGAAACAGAAAAGAAAAAAAAAAAAAAAGAUGGUUUAUCUUCUCAGACUAAUUCAAACAUAGGAGAAAUUUUUUUUUUUUUUUUAGUAUUUUAAACUUUACUUCUAUAAAGAGAAAAUAGGGAGAAGGAAGGGCAAAUAAUUUCUUCGCGGUUGAUUUGGAAUGUAAAAAGUCCGGACCGUUUUCUUAACAAUUUGGAAAAAGAAAUUUUCAAUUUUGUGCAUCAUAAAGACAUCAUACUAGUUUCUAAGCCGGCACCCGCAGAGUUUAUUGCCAAAAUAACUCUUCUUUUGAAACAUAUACCUAGAGGUAGCAAAAUGGGCGGGAGGAGUGGGAUUUGCUUGGGUUUGAAACGGAACCGAGUCAUAUGGGUUUGGGCCAACCUUACCCAUAUGUGUUUUGGGACUAACUUGGGCGGAAUCAUUUUGGAAUGGGUUUAGAUUGAUCCCGCCCAAUACCCAAAUCUAUUUUCUACAUAUUUUUUUUUCCUUUAAUUCAUUUUUUAUAUAACUUUAAUAUUUUUGAAUAAUUAAAUUUCUUUUAGUUUUAUUAAAUAAACAUGAAAGUGCUUUGUACUCAGGAUUCCCACCAAAAUUUGGAUUAACAAAUAAAGAAAAAGAUAGAUAUACAGCCAUAUUCCAACAAAUAUCAAGAUGGCCAAGGCACUUAGGGUGUUGAAUAUUUAUCCUCAUAAUUGUCCAAGGAUGACAGGUCUAAACUGAAUGAAAUGCUGGAAAUUCUUGUGGAUAAUGACUAAGAAGACUGCUAGAUUAUAUUCGCUGGUAUGACUAUAAAAAUUGUUAAAGAUAAUUUUUUAAUCUAAUUUGAGCCCAAUGGGUACCCAAAUAUUUUCCAAAAUUUCUCAUCAAUUAAUGGGUAUAAUUGGGAUUUGUCUCAUUUUAAACCCAAUAUCAAAUUCCAGUACCCAACCCGCCCAAAGUCCCCAUGGGCAUGGGUAAUCCAUUGGGACUUGAAACAAAUUGCCACCUCUACAUAUACCCAAUGUAACCUAAUUUUAAAAUUUAUUACCUUUAUAAUUCUUUUUUUUCCAUAUAGGUUGCAUAUGUGGUAGGAUAGAGAUAGAGACACAUUCUAUCUCUCUUUCCCAACUAAUAUCUUCCCUGAUUCUCUCUUUGAACAUUCCCACUUUUUUUUCCUUUAUUAUUUUGUGUCCUUUCGUUAUUUUUCCUUGUCAAAUGUAAUUGUUAAAAGCCAAUAUUUAUAUUAACAACAUCUAAAACUUCAUUAUCAUUUCUGAUAUUGUAUCUGUAGAUGAAAAUAUUCUCCUUGAAUUGAUAAUUUUAAGGUAAAUGAAGAUUAUUCUCUUGUCUUUUCUAUUGUGCAAUUUUAGAACAUUCCUAUGGCCUUCAAAAAAUUUUGAAUACUAAUUGCUUUAACAAAUGAUUUCUCACACCGUGUGUUUGAUAAAAUGUCUAAGAGGAAAACUACGUAACAACAUAAAUUCAUGCUCAAUAUAAGCAUGUCCAUUUGUAGUGCCUCUGUGAGGACUCGCAAAAUUUACUUAUUUAAAUUUCCUAUUUCUAACUUAUUUAAUUAUUUAUUUGGCCAUUUACUCAGAAUAUUUUAUUUUGACCUUUUAUUACUCAAUUACAUAGAAUAAUAGCUCACAUGUAUUUUUAAAGUGACUUGUUUCAAAAUUUAAUUUUUGGAAUCUCGUUAAGUGAGAAUAGCGAAUACGCGUUUGGAGACAAUAACCGAUUUGAGAGAACUAUGAGCUUGAAAAUUGGAGACUUAUACACUAGUCUUAAAAUAGGUAUUUUUAUGUUUAAGUACUCAACUAUUAGUUAGUGAUACCAUCGUUAUAAGAAUUUCGUGAAAAUUCCACUCUACCGGGCACAAAUUAGAAGUACGCGUUUUUACACGCGCGAUUUAAUUGAGGGACUUUAGACCCUUAUUUUUAGAUCAUUAAGAGUGAAUAAUAAUAGUAGGAAUACAAGUGCAUUAGAGGUUUAGUGCACAAGUGAAACAAUCUCGAGAGGAAUCGAGCACGAAAUGCGCGCGUACGCGUGGAAGAGAGAGUUGACUUUUGAACCAAUUUAGAGCCAUACAUUUUAGCUUCUCUUGGAAGCUUGAUUUGCAGCCAAAACCUCUCUCUCUCUUGCUCUAAGACAGCCGGCCAUCCAAGGAGAAAAACAACCAAAGUUCUUCAUUUUCCUUCAUCAAUCCUUGCUUCAAAUCUUCACCAAAUCACCUCAAAAUUCACAUACACUUUGAUAACACUUGGAGAUCACCUCAAGCUAGGAAAAGGGGCUUGCUCUCACAGUUUUUCUUGAGCUAAAAGGACCGAAAUUUCUGCCUUGAUCAUCUAAGAAAGUAAGUAAUGAUCAACCUCACAAAUCUUGACUUAUGCAAGUUAUAUUGCACUUAUAAACUCAUAUAUUCAUGUGGGUAGCUUUAUUUAUGUUGAAAAUUUGGUGUGUGGGAUCUAUGAAAGCCUACAAUGGCUUGGUGGAUUGAUUUGAUGAUAUAUGAUGCUAUUUAUGUUGGAUUAAUGCUUAAUCUAGUGGAAAUACGUUAGGUUGUGAAGAAAAACUCAAAAGAAGAGAGUUGAGCAAAAGUGACAAAUCUGCCCUUGUUAUUGCCGUGAGCCUUAGUGCAUUUUUUUGUGGUUCAAUUGACUUAUUUAUGAUGUAUACAUGUUGUGUGGGUUGUGUGGAAGGUUUCCACAAAAAAUUACGUGAUUUGGAUGAUUAAAUGUUGAGUUUUCGAAAAUUUGUCAAAGUUGGAAAUGAGUCCCGUGUUACUCUGGCAGUAUUUUUGUUUCGGUCAUAACUUUUUACUCCGAUGUCGAAAUCAAGUGCCGUUAGUAGCAUUAGAAACUAGACACUUCCAGUUUUCCAAUGGUAUAAAAUGCAUGCCCAGAUUCCACCUGAGUGAAUCAUACCAAUCAUUUGAACAUGACUGUCCUGUUUCGCUGAUCCACUGGAGUGCAGGUCAUGAGCUGCAACUUGAUGCUCGAAUAUGGGCUAGUUGUGGAUAGAUUUUUAAAACGAUUCCUUCUAUAAACAUUUAACCUUAUGAAUGUAGUUUCUAACACCACCAACCAUGCUCAAUUCCAAGUUGAUUGAGUGAGUUGUGGCCGAAGUUCGAAACUGAUUCAGUGGUUGAAAACCCUCUUUUUGACUAGUAAAUGCUUAAAUCUUGAUUGGGACUUGUUGUUUUGAAAUUCUUGAUGUUGAUCACCUACCAAAUGUAUCUUGGAUGUUGCUUAGACAUUGUCUACACAAAUGGACCGUGUUUGAGACAUUUUGUUGGCCAAACGUUUUGAAAACGGAAAACGGAACCACAAGGCAGUUUUGUCUUGGAAGUUCUUGGAGAUUUAAUGAUUUUGUUAACUGACUUCCCAUACAUAUUUUUCCAUGAAAUUUGACAGAGGAAUAGCCCUUAUAUGGUAGUAUAAUCAUACCAAAUUUGGUGCCAUUCCGAGUCCAUUUAGAAGCUCAAACAAAGUCCCGAAGUACGUGAUUUAAACCUGAAAUUUGCUUAACAGUUUCACUUUUGCAGCAACUUUGAGCUACCAUAUCUUGGUGCCCAAAACUCCAAUUCUUGUUCCACUUAUUGUGUUGAAAAUUUUGAUUGUAACUCUAAUUGACUUCCAAAUUUUAGAGGCUAGUUCGCAUUGUGUGAAUUUUGCUGAAUUUCCAAACUUUGCCGAAAAUCAACUCAAAUCUGUCUUGGCAUUCCAAAACAGCCACUUUGAGCUAAAUUUUGAAUAUCUUUCAUUUGGAAUCAUGGAAAAGUAUCUUCUAAGAACUUUUAGUACGUUGGAAGAAGUUUCCAACGGUACCAAUUUUUCCAAUUUUGGACUUGUAGAGAGUGAGAUACGAUUUUUCAAAGAUUGUUCGACAAAUCUGAAAUUUCCAAACUUAAAGGAAAUUGAGGGUUUUGAACUCUCUAUCUCCUUUGGUAUUGUUAGACCGUUGUAUACUUGAUUUCAAAGAUGAAAAAAAAUCAUAUUUUACUUUUGUGUUUUAAAACCCCUUUUUUUGAGCCUCGAUUUAUGAGUAAUUAAGGCUCAUUUUCGUGAAAUUUUCUUAAAUUGUACAAGUGUACAAUCUUCCUUGAUAAUUGGGGUUUAUAAGUGAUAGUUCAUUAUUAAUUGCUCAGGCACUCAAGAGGACCCCCAAGAGGAUAUCACGGGAGACGCCUAAUCAAUCGAUUGUACUUGCUACUUGAAUCACUCGGUGAGUGUCAAGUGUAUGAGUACUUGAUACAUGCUUAACUGUUAUAAAUGAUUGGAGAUUUUGAAAAUAAAGUCGAGUGUGUACUUUACCGCACUUGUUCUCAUUUGAAAUGAAUGGAAUGAAAUGUAUUUAAUGAAAUGAAUGAUUGAAUGAUAUUAAAUGAUUGAAUGAAAUGAAAUGGUAUGCUAUGGCUGCAUACGUCGCUGGAGUGAAUCUCCUCGACUCACAAAUGAACAUGGAGGACGCCCAAAUCUCACUGGCUAACCUUGGACUCGAGCCGGCAUGUGUUUGGUCAGGCUCCUUGGUGAACCAUGAGAAAAUAUAAGUUUGACCUAUUGAGAGGUCUUACUUGGCAUACUCGAGCAGUAUCGCCUCAAACAAACAACAGGCGGACCCGAUACAGGGGUAUGUAAGGUGAAAGGGGACAUGAUAAGUGAAGUUCUACGGACUGAACCUACCCGGUUGACGGAGUGUCAACUAAUGGAGGUUCGUGAUCGUACAAGUGAAAAAUAACUCCUGAGAGCUCCUAUAUCCUUGAAUUGUUUCUGUUUACUUUUCUCGCUCGAAUUGUUAAUUAUUGCAAUAUUAUUACUCUACUUGUAAAUAGGGAUUGUUAUUUGAACAACGUGUCUGCAUGUGUGUUCUUGGCCUCACGAGCGUUUUGCUCACCCUGUAGAUUUGUUUUCCUUCACAGAAAAGGAUUUGGAAUGGACCUCGGAGAAACCCCUUUUGAAUGUACUUUUGUAUUAGGGUUUUCAAUGUGCUUGGCUAGACUCUGGAUUAUUGUAUAUUUUGAGAAUUUGAUGUAAGGAUUGGAUACUUGACGUAUUUUGGAACUCAUGAUGUAAGUUUGAAUGUUAUUUAUGGGAGUGACCUCCCUUUCGUACCUAUAUCAUCGUGAUGGCUGGUAUUUCAUUAAACUUGAACGGAAAUUGUCUUGAGUCCUGAUGAGAGUUGGGCAGGCGUCCCGCGGAUAUCUUUUGGUUCGCCUUAGAGAGAAGUGGGGCGUCACAGUUGGUAUCAGAGCGCUAGAUUAGAGAUGUAUAUGGGUGACAUAUUAGAAACUCUACCUUUAAGAUUUGAGAUAGGAUGACUAAGUCAUACCUUAAGUGAUAUUUGGGCGAACUAGUAACUAAGUUAGGCAUACCCUAGGUGACAUCCGAGUGAGCUAGUGAUUAAGUUUCUAAUUUGAAAAGUGUGAUUGUUUUGCAGGGAUGAAAAAUGGAAACGGAGCCCCAGCAGCUAAUGGGAAUGGCCAUGCGAAUGGUCAUGUAGAGCCUCCUAGGCCUAUUUUCUACCGAGCUCUUGGUAGAGGGGCUCGCGUGCGUUACUCACCUGCCAAUUGGUAUCCCCAAUGUUCGUGUAGGUUGACCUUCGCCUACCCGAACCGCCUCGUGCUAGUUUUGGACGACGAGCGUCGUCAGUUGGUGAACACUAACUUAGAUUUACAGGCGGAGGUAGACGAGCUGAGGUAGAUGGUUAGUGCUCAGGGAGAGCGGAUUGCGGAGCUUGAGAAGGUUCUGGAGGGCGAGGUGGCUACUGCUGCGGUUACUCGUGAGGAGCUCUAGAGGACUAGGGCUUGACUCACUAGAUUAGGAGAAGAGAUCCGUGAUCGGGCUUCCGGGAUCCUGGCUGAUGCCACUGAGAUGAUAGAGGGGGUGUCGGAUAUUAUCCAGAGCCCGGUUCAGGGGGAGGACUUAGAGGAGGAUCCUGAGGAGGAUAUUCCUCCUAGUAGUCCUACUGUGGACUAGGUUUAGAGCAAUUGACCUUUUGACUCUUUUGACUGGUGUAGUUAGGAUUAGCAGGGGUGAUGCGAGUGUUGAGACCAUUGUAUUUUCAUGACUGUGUGGCCUACUUUUGAAGCACUUGAUUUUGCUUUAGUCUUUUAUGACUGAAAGUACUCUUGUGGCACUUACGUGCUAUAUUUUUGUGAUCUCCCCCAUGACUUGCUAAUUGUAUGGAUCUUGACAUGUUAAUGAAUGUAAAUUAUUGUAAUUUUCAAUGCUUUCGUGAGUGGUUCUUGUUUUAAGUAUUUUCUCGCAUAAUUGAUUCAUUUCUUGCACUAGGCACGCCUAGAAUAAUGGAAGGACUAAAAAAUGGUCGAGACCGUGGGCAAGGGACUAGACAGGCCCAAUCUCAUGGGGAUGACCAGGGAUCGGCAACUGGACCGACCUAGGGACAGGAAAAUGUAGAAGGAAAUCAAGCGGCUACUGCCAUUAAUAGGAUGACUAAUAUUCUAGAACGUUUAGUGGAAAGACAAGGUCCUGGACCACUUAACCAAACUGGGGGACAGGAUAGAGGAGAGGAUAGAGCUCUAGAGAGGUUCUUGAAGUUUAACCCGCCUAAAUUUAUUGGUGAACCCGAUCCUGAGGUAGCAGAGAAUUGGUUGGAGAGAAUGACCAACAUAUUCGCCGCUCUAGACUAUAUUUAGAAUAGGUGAAUGAAUUUUGCUGCUUUCCAAUUUGAGAGAGUGGCUCGUGCUUGGUGGGAUGUGGUAAGGGAAAAGUAGGAAAGAGCCCAAACCCUUAGACUUGGGAGAAUUUCACGAGAGAGUUUAAUGAGAAAUUCCUUCCGCCUUUGAUCCAAGAAAAGAUGGAGGAUGAGUUCAUCAAGUUGAAACAAGGGACCCUUAGUGUAGCGGAAUAUGAAGGGAAAUUCACUAAACAUUUCAAGUAUGCUCCUGAAUUGGUAACUAAUGAGCGAAAACGGAUAAGACGGUUUCUAUAGGGAUUUAAUGUGAAAAUCCAGGAGGACUUAACCGCAACCCAAAUCACUACUUUUACUGAGACUCUAGAGAAAACACAAAGGGUUGAGAGUGCCAGAAUGCAAGUUAAGGACUUUCACAAUAGGAAGAGAAACUUUUCCAGUCACACUCUGGACAAGCUAGUAAAAGUGCACAGCAUUCCAAAAUGGGAAGAGAAAUGGGAGGAACAAGAACUGCAGGAGCUUCUAAGGGAGCUUUAUCCAGAGGAGGUUGUGGUGGGCCGGUUCAAGUUAGGGGAGCGCCUUCUAGUGGAUCGGCAGUAAUCCCUCAAGUUACUUGUGGGUACUGUGGUAAACCCAACCACUCUGAGAAUGACUGCUGGAAGAAGUCAGGGAAAUGUCUGUUUUGUAGGAGUGUCGAACACCAACUCAUAGGUUGUCCAAAGGCAUCAAAAUUGGGAGGUAACCCUCAGAGGCCAGAAAAGUCAACCUCUAAGUAGACUGGUGUUGGAGGGAGCCGACCUAAGGUACAGGUUAGGGUUUAUACACUGGAUCACCAACAGAUACCUGAUGCGACUGAGGUGGUUGAAGGUAUAAUUCCUAUUUUUCACUGCUUAGCUAAGAUUUUAAUUGAUCCGGGUGCGACUCAUUCUUUUGUAAACCCUAAUUUCAUGAGUGGAAUAGACUUGAAACCAAUUAAAUUACCUUACGACUUGAAAGUUAAAACGCCUAUUGGGGAUCAAAGUCUAAUCGCUAACUUGGUGUAUAGAGAUUGUGAGAUCUGGGUUGGAGAACGAAAAUUAUUGGCCGAUCUGAUAGGUUUAGCAAUGAAGGGAUAUGAUGUGAUCCUAGGAAUGGACUGAUUAGCCCGUUACAUUGCUCAGUUGAAUUGUAAGACAAAGAUAGUAGAAUUGUGCAUUCCGAGAGAGGCAACCCUGAAAUUGAAUGUAAAAGGUAGAUUAGCCUCGUCUGCACUUAUUUCAGGGAUUCGAGUUAGGAAAAUAUUGAGUAAAGGAGUUCACGGAUAUUUGGUUUUUCUAAUCAACACCCCUAGUGAUAAAGUGAAUCUGGAAGACAUGCCUGUAGUGAAAGAUUACCCAAAUAUUUUUUCUGAAGAGUUAGAGUCUUUACCCCCGGAACGGGAUAUAGCUUUCAAGAUUGAUGUGACUCCGGAAGUAGUACCUAUAUUUAAGACGCCAUAUAGAAUGGCUCCGACUGAAUUGAAGGAAUUGAAACUGCAAUUGCAAGACUUGUUGGAACAGAAUUUUAUAAAGGAGAGUGAUUCACCGUGAGGAGCCCGGAUCUUGUUUGUUAAAAAGAAAAAUGGGAGUUUAACAUUAUGUAUAGAUUACCGAGGCUGGAAUGAUGUCACUAUCAAGAAUAAGUACCCAUUGCCCCACAUCGAUGAAUUGUUUGACCAAUUGCAAGGGGCGGUAGUAUUCUCGAAAUUGGAUUUGAGACAGGAUUAUUAUCAAUUGAGGAUUUUGGAGAAAGAUAUACCCAAGACUGCUUUUAACUCGAGGUAUGGACACUUUGAAUUUGCAGUAAUGCCAUUUGGAUUGACCAAUGCACCUGCUGCUUUCAUGAAUUUAAUGCAUAGGAUUUUUAAGCCUUAUCUAGACCAAUUUGUGGUGGUCUUUAUUGAUGAUAUUUUGGUGUACUCUAAGAAUGUGAAAGAUCACGAGAAACAUUAGAGAAUUGUUUUACAAACUUUGAGGGAACACCAAUUGUAUGCUAAGUUUAGCAAGUGUGAGUUUUGGUUAAAAAAAAGUGACUUUCUUGGGACACAUAAUUUCUAAGGAUGGGAUUAAAGUAGAUCCAAGUAAAGUUGAAACUGUUUCAAAGUGGAAACGACCGGAAAACCCUACAGAGGUUCGAAGUUUUAUUGGACUAGCAGGGUAUUACCGGAGAUUUAUCCAGGAUUUUUCUAGGAUUGCUAGACCCAUGACUGAGUUGACCAAGAAAAGUGGGAAGUUUGUUUGGAAUUACAAGUGUAAAGAGAGUUUCCAAGAGUUGAAAAGACGUUUGACAAGAGCGCCAGUGUUAGCUUUACCAAAUGAAAAGGAUAGUUUUGUGGUCUACACAGAUGCUUCUAAGGAAGGAUUAGGAUGUGUUUUAAUGCAAAAUGGUAGAGUGAUAACAUAUGCAUCUAGGAAGUUGAAACCACACGAAGGAAAUUACCCGACUCAUGAUUUGGAGUUAGCGACUGUGGUGUUUGCUUUGAAGAAAUGGAGACAUUAUCUGUAUGGAGUAACGUUUGAAGUUUUUACUGACCACAAAAGACUUAAGUAUUUAUUUUCUCAAAAAGGAGUUAAAUCUGAGGCAACGUAGAUGGAUGGAAUUUUUAGAAGACUAUGAUUGCACGAUAAAGUACCAUCCAGGAAAGGCCAAUGUAGUGACCGAUGCUCUAAGUCGUCAAGUGCAAGUGGCCGGAUUGAUGAUUAAGGAAUUACACUUGUUAGAGGAAAUUAGUUAUUGAAAUCCUAGACCUGAACCAAGAAAAGUAAUUUUGGAGAAUAUUGUAGUGAAUUCCACUCUGUUGGAGCAUAUCAAGGAAUCUUAGGAAAAGGACGCUGAAGUGCAAAAGUGGUUGAAAAAUGUCAAAAAGGUAGAAAAGUCAGAUUUUCACUUGGGAUCAAAUGGUAUAUUAAGGUUUCGGAAUCGGAUAGUAGUGCCAAAAGACGAAGGGCUUAAAAAGAAAAUUUUAGAAGAGGCACACCGAUCGAAGUUUACGGUACACCCUGGAGGGAAUAAAAUGUACCAAGACUUGAAGAUUCUGUAUUGGUGGGAGAGUAUGAAGAAGGAAAUUGCUCAAUUUAUCCAGACUUGUUUGACUUGUCAACAAGUAAAAGCCGAACAUCAGAAACCAUCGGGACUUUUGCAACCUUUGGAGAUACCCGAGUGAAAAUAGGAAAAUAUCACUAUAGAUUUUGUAUCAGGAUUACCAAGGACACAAAGAGACAAUGAUGCUAUUUGGGUGAUAGUGGAUAGAUUGACUAAAUCGGCUCAUUUUCUGCCUAUUAAUAUGAAAUACCCAUUGGAAAAGUUAGCUAAAUUGUACUUGGAUGAAAUUAUCAGGUUAUAUGGAAUACCUGUGAGUAUCGUGUCCGAUAGAGACCCGAGAUUUGUUUCGAGAUUUUGGCGAAAGAUGCAGGAAGUGUUGGGGACUAAAUUGAAUUUUAGUACUACUUACCAUCCUCAGACCGAUGGACAGUCUGAGAGGACAAUUCAAACCCUUGAGGACAUGUUGAGGACUUGUGUUUUGGAUUUUGGGGAGAGUUGGAGUAAGUAUAUAACUUUAGUGGAAUUUGCCUAUAACAAUAGUUUCCACUCUUCUAUUCAAAUGGCUCCAUAUGAAACACUUUAUGGUCGAAAGUGUAGGUCUCCGAUUUGUUGGGAUGAAAUAGGUGAACGAAAGAUCUUAGACCCGACUACAGUGCCUUGGAUUGAGGAGGCCAAUGAAAAGUGAAGUUGGUACGCCAGAGGAUUCAGACCGCACAAAGUCGUCAAAAGAGUUACGCAGAUAACCGAAAAAAAGAUUUAGAAUUUGCGGUUGGGGAUCUAGUAUUUCUUAAUAUUACACCUCUGAAAGCAGUUUAAUGUCUGGAAAGGGAAAGUAUCCAGACCUAUUCGUGAAUCAAGGUAAAUUUCGAGGACGAAAUUCUCUUAAGAGAGAGAGGAUGUGAGAACUCGCAAAAUUUACUUAUUUAAAUUUCCUAUUUCUAGCUUAUUUAAUUAUUUAUUUGGUCAUUUACUCAGAAUAUUUUAUUUGACCUUUUAUUACUCAAUUACAUAGAAUAAUAGCUCACAUGUAUUUUUAAAAUGACUUGUUUCAAAAUUUAAUUUUUGAAACCUCGUUAAGUGAGAAUAACGAAUACGUGUUCGGAGAGAAUAACCGAUUUGAGAGUACUAUGAGCUUGAAAAAUUGGAGACUUAUACACUAGUCUAAAAAUAGGUAUUUUUAUGUUUAAAUACUCAAGUAUUAGUUAGUGAUACUAUCGUUAUAAGAAUUUCGUGAAAAUUCCACUCGACCGCGCACAAAUUGGAAGUACGCGUUUUUACACGCGCGAUUUAAUUGAGGGACUUUAGACCCUUAUUUUUAAACCAUUAAGAGUGAAUAAUAAUAGUAGGAAUACAAGUGCAUUAGAGGUUUAGUGCACAAGUGAAACAAUCUCGAGAGAAAUCGAGCACGAAACGCGGGCGUACACGCGGGAGAGAGAGUUGACUUUUGAACCAAUUUAGAGCCACACAUUUUAGCUUCUCUUGAAAGCUUCAUUUGCAGCCAAAACCUCUCUCUCUCUCUUGCUCUAAGACAGCCGGCCAUCCAAGGAGAAAAACAACCAAAGUUCUUCAUUUUCCUUCGUCAAUCCUUGCUUCAAAUCUUCACCAAAUCAUCUCAAAAUUCACAUACACUUUGCUAACCACUUGAAGAUCACCCCAAGCUAGGAAAAGGGGCUUGCUCUCACGGUUUUUCUUGAGUUAAAAGGACCGAAAUUUCUUCCUUGAUCAUCUAAGAAAGUAAGUGAUGAUCAACCUCUCAAAUCUUGACUUAUGGAAGUUAUAUUGUACUUAUAAGCUCAUAUAUUCAUGUGGGUAGCUUUAUUUAUAUUGGAAAUUUGGUGUGUGGGUUCCCACAAUGGCUUGGUGGACUGAUUUGAUGAUAUAUGAUGCUAUUUAUGUUGGAUUAGUGCUUAAUCUAGUGGAAAUACGUUUGGUUGUGAAGGAAAACUCAAAAGGAGAGAGUUGAGCAAAAGUGACAAAUCCGCCCUUGUUAUUGCCGUGACCCUUAGUGCAUUUUUCUGUAGUUUAAUUGACUUAUUUACGAUGUAUACAUGUUGUGUGGGUUUUGUGGAAGGUUUCCACAAAAAAUUACGUGAUUUGGAUGAUUAAAUGUUGAGUUUUCGAAAAUUUGUCAAAGCUGGAAAUGAGUCCCGUAUUACUCUGGCAGUGUUUUUGUUUCGGUCAUAACUUUUUACUUCGAUGUCGAAAUCGAGUGCCGUCAGUGGCAUUAGAAACUAGACACUUCCAGUUUUCCAAUGGUAUAAAAUUCAUGCCCUGAUUCUACUUGAGUGAACCAUACCAAUCAUUUGAACAUGACUGCCCUGUUUCGCUGAUCCACUGGAGUGCAGGUCAUGAGCUGCAACUUGAUGCUCGAAUAUGGGCUAGUUGUGGACAGAUUUUUAAAACAAUUCCUUCUGUGAAAUUUUAUCCUUAUAAAUGUAGUUUCCAACGCCACCAACUAUGCUCAAUUCCAAGUUGAAUUGAGUGAGUUGUGGCCAAAGUUCGAAACUGAUUUAGUGGUUGAAAACCCUCUUUUUGACUAGUAAAUGCCUAAAUCUUGAUUGGGACUUGUUGUUUUGAAAUUCUUGAUGUUGAUCACCUAUCAAAUGUAUCUUGGAUGUUUCUUAGACAUUGUCUACAAAAAUGGACCGUGUUUGAGACAUUUUGUUGGCCAAACGUUCUGAAAACGGAAAACGGAACCACAAGGCAGUUUUGUCUUGGAAGUUCUUGGAGCUUUAAUGAUUUUGUUAACCGACUUCCCGUACGUAUUUUUCUAUGUAAUUUGAUAGAGGAAUAACCCUUAUAUGGUAGUAUAAUCAUACCAAAUUUGGUAUCAUUCCGAGUCUAUUUCGAAGCUCAAACAAAGUCCCGAAGUACGUGAUUUAAACCUGGAAUUUGCUUAACAGUUUCACUUUUGCAGCAACUUUGAGCUACCAUAUCUUGGUGCCCAAAACUCCAAUUCUUGUUCCUCUUGUUGUGUUGAAAACUUUGAUUGUAACUAUAAUUGAGUUCCAAAUUUUAGAAACUAGUUCACAUUGUGUGAAUUUUGCCGAAUUUCCAAACUUUGCCGAAAAUCAACCCAAAUCUGUCUUGGCAUUCCAAAACAGCCACUUUGAGCUAAAUUUUGAAUAUCUUUCAUUUGGAAUCAUGGAAAAGUGUCUUCUAGGAAAUUUUAGUACUUUGGAAUAAAUUUCCAACGGUACCAAGUUUUCCAAUUUUGGACUUGUAGAGAGUGAGAUACGAUUUUUCAAAGAUUACUCGACAAAUCUAAAAUUUUCAAACUUAAAGGAAAUUGAGGGUUUCGAACUCUCUAUCUCCUUUGGUAUUGCUAGACCGUUGUAUACUUGAUUUCAAAGAUGAAAAAAAUCAGAUUUUCCUUGUGUUUUAAAAUUCCAUUUUUUGAGUCUCGAUUUACGAGUAAUUAAGGCUCAUUUUCGUAAAAUUUUCUUAGAUUGUACAAGUGUACAAUCUUCCUUGAUAAUUGGGGUUUAUAAGUGAUAGUUCAUUAUUAAUUGCUCAGGCACUCAAGAGGACCUCCAAGAGGAUCUCACGGGAGACGCCUAAUCAAUCGCUUGUAUUUGCUACUUGAAUCACUCGGUGAGUGUCAAGUGUAUGAGUACUUGAUACAUGCUUAAUUGUUAUAAAUGAUUGGAGAUUUUGAAAAUGAAGUCGAGUGUGUACUUUACCGCACUCGUUCUCAUUUGAAAUGAAUGGAAUGAAAUGUAUUCAAUGAAGUCGAGUGUAUACGUCGCUGGAGUGAAUCUCCUCGACUCACAAAUGAACAUGGGGGACGCCCAAAUCUCACUGGCUAACCUUGGACUCGAGCCGGCAUGGGCUUGGUCGGGCUCCUUGGUGAACCAUGAGAAAAUAUAAGCUUGACCUAUUGAGAAAUCUUGCUUGACAUACUCGAGCAGUAUCGCCUCAAACAAACGACAGGCGGGCCCGAUACAGGGGUAUGUAAGGUGAAAGGGGACAUGAUAAGUGAAGUUCUACAGACUGAACCUACCCGGUUGAUGGAGUGUCAACUAGUGGAGGUUCGUGAUCGUGCAAGUGGAAAAUAGCUUCUGAGAGCUCCUAUAUCCUUGAAUUGUUUUUGUUUACUUUUCUUGCUCGAAUUGUUAAUUAUUGCAAUAUUAUUGCUCUACUUGUAAAUAGGGAUUGUUACUUGAACAACAUACCUGCAUGUGUGUUCUUGGCCUCAUAAGUGUUUUGUUCACCCUGUAGAUUUGUUUUCCUUAACAGGAAAGGAUCUGGAAUGGACUUCGGAGAAACCCCUUUCGAAUGUACUUUUGUAUUAGGGUUUUUCAAUGUGCUUGGCUAAGGCUCUGGAUUAUUGUAUAUUUUGAGAACUUGAUGUAAGGAUUGGAUACUUGGCGUAUUUUGGAACUCGUGAUGUAAGUUUGAAUGUUAUUUAUGGGAGUGACCUCCCUUUCUUACUUAUAUCAUCGUGAUGGUUGGUAUUUCAUUAAGUUUGAACGGAAAUUAUCUUGAGUCCUGGCGAGAGUUGGGCAGGCGUCCCGCGGAUACCCUUUGGUUCGCCUUAGGGAGAAAUAGGGGCGUCACAGCCUCUCUAUCACAUAAUCAAAUAAUCUCGUAUACUUGAAGUAUUUUUGCACAUUUAUUCAACAUGAAUUAAUGGCUUGUGUUACUUUUGAGAAACUUUAGCAUUAUCUUAAUUGCAAUAGUUUGAUUACUUUUUGUAAAAGUUCUUUUCAAGGAGUAGGAAGCAUAACAUAAACAAAUAUGAUAGCCUUGAAGUUUUUGUAACUUUUUCUUGUUAUUGCUUAUAAUGUUCAUUGCAAUUUUUAUAUUUUGCAAAUUUAUUUUUGAAAAAAUAUAUGCAAUAAGUUUGAUACAUUUAAAAAAAUUGCAGAGAGCAAUAAUAGCAAGGUCAAUAAUGGUAAAAUUUAUUUUAAAUAAUUAUAAGGAAAUUAUCAAAGUUAUGCAAUUUUCUUGUGCCUCUAUAAUAAAAUAGUUUAAUUUUUUAGUUUUUAUUGGAAACUAUAAACUAGAUUAAAGCUUUCCUUUCUUCUUAUCCUACAUGGCAAUCAGGGUAAUUAGGUGGCAACAAUAACAUCAAUUUGAGAAUAAAAUUUGAAAGUGAAUCACAUUGGAAAUAUUUUUUAGAAAGAGUGUUAUUUUUGGCAAAAAACUCCCACCCACAUGGUGUCUUUCUUUUAUGGUUAUAUGUAUCUUAGUUGAGAAUAAACUCUCCUGCCCUCAUAAAUCCUGUCUUAUCUUGUGUGGUUGUCCACUAAAUAUAUUUUUACUAAAUGAUUCUUUAGUUAAUGAGUGUUGCUUUCGUAUUCUAGUAUCCGAGCUCAUAAAUUUUAGUUCAAACUAGACUUUAUGUUCGCAAGAAAUAUGUAAAAAUGAAGGUACACUUGUAACUCCUCCUUGUUUUGAAUAUUAAUGUGUGUGUUUGUGCUGAUUUUUUAUUGUGAAUUGUCUUGUUCUAAGAUAUUUUUAUUUGCAUGUUACUUUUUUGAGAAAAUGACUUGUUUCAUCCCUCACAUUUCGUAAAAAUAUUCUUUUUGUCCCUCACAUUUAAAACGAAGCAAAUUGGUCCUUCACAUUUAAAACCCAAGCUUUUACAUCUUAGAAAUAAACUCUCAGUUGUGAAUCAAACUAUCUAAUAACCCGGUUACAAAUUUUGGGGAUAGAAUUAAUAGAUCACUCGCAAAAACAUAUUUCCAACAAAUAAAUUAAAACAAUUAAAAAAUCUUAAUUAAAACCCAUUUGCUUCUUCAAAAGAACGAAAUAGUGCUAAAGCUCUCAAGCACUAAACCCUUAGACAUAUUUCUCAGUUUUUGUUGCACUAAGGGUUUAGUGCUUGAGAGCUUUAGCACUAUUUCGUUCUUUUGAAGAAACAAAUGGGUUUUAAUUAAGAUUUUUUAAUUGCUUUAAUUUAUUUGUUGGAAAUAUAUUUUUGCGAGUGAUCUACCAAUUCUACCCCCAACAUUUGUAAUCGGGUUGUUAGAUAGUUUGAUUGACAAUGCGAGUGAUCUACCAAUUCUACCCCCAAAAUUUGUAACCGGGUUGUUAGAUGGCUUGAUUCACAACUGAGAGUUUAUUUCUAGGAUGUAAAAGCUUGGGUUUUUAAAUGUGAAGGACCAAUUUGCUUCAUUUUAAAUGUGAAGGACGAAAAGAAUAUUUUUACGAAAUGUAGGGGAUGAAACAUGUCAUUUUCUUUACUUUUUUUUUUUGUAUCAGUUAUGAAGUUGUUUAAUAAGUUUCAUAUAUAUUUAGUAGUGGUAGACUGAAACUUAGUGAAGCAUUAUUCUAUGUGUUGGUCAUAUAAGAUUGGCAUAGCUUUUGAAAAGUAAAUCAAGAAAAGGAUAAAAAUAAAUUAGCCUUGAAAAUUCAUGUCAAUUAUCAACGUACAAUUCAAAUUAGAUAAGUUCCAAUCUUUUAAAGAAAAGGAUUAUUAAUACUGUCACUUUACUUUAAAUUGAUAUUUGACAGGACGUGAAUAAAAACUUGUUCAUAUAGAUUUUUUUUUUAACUGUAGUUAACUAGCCUUAUUUCUUUUUUAAUUCAAAGUUGAAUUCAAGAAAAUUCGGCCAAUCAUUUAAUGCUUGGUACUACUGGUUCAUUAAAGCUGCAUUUGGAUUGAGAAAUUUAACAAAGGAUUUGAAAUCCUCUAAAAUCUCUCUAGUUGUUUAGAUUAAUUAAAAGGUAUUUGGAUUUGUAAAUCACUAAUUAUUUUGUUUAAAAUGUAGUUAUGUAAUUGAUGAAUUACAAAUCCAAAUACCUUUUAAGCAAUCCAAACAACUAGAGCGAUUUGGAUGAAUUUCAAAUCCUUCAUCAAAUCCUUGAAUCCAAACAAAACCUACAAUUUUAUGGAAGUCAUUAUAAAGAUGCUUCAUAGCAAACUUAAAGUUUGUAAAAAGAGAAAAACAUGAAGAAAUAUGUAAAAUGCUGAAAGUUCUACCUAAGUAAAGUUAGUGAGUUUUUUGCUAAAAUAACACUCUUUCUAAAAAAUAUUUUCAAUAUGAUUCACUUUCAAAUUUUAUUCCCAUAAUGAUGUUAUUAUUGCCACCUUAUUAUCCUGAUUGCCACGUAGGAUAACAAGAAAGGAAAGUUUUGAUCUAGUUUAUAGUUUCCAACAAGAGUUAAAAUUUUUAAUUUUUUUUAAUCAUAGAGACACAAUAAGAUUGCAUAACUUUGAUAAUUUUCUUAUAAUUAUUUAAAACAAAUUCUACCAUUAUUGACCUUACUAUGAUUGGUCUCUACAUUUUUCUUGAAAUGAAUCAAACCUAUUGCAUAUAUUUUUUUCAAAAAUUAAAUUUGAAAAAUUCAAAAAUUGCAACAAAAAUUGUAAGUAAUAACAAGAAAAAGUUACAAAAACUUCAAGGUUAUCAUAUUUGUUUAUAUUAUCCUUCUUACUCUUUGAAAAAAAACUUUUACAAGAUGUAAUAAAACUGAAAUUUUCAAGUUUUCAAUUGCAAACUAAAAACUGCUAGAUUAUUUUCUCCUAGACUUUUUAUCAAACACACGGUGUGAGAAAUCAUUUGUUAGACAAUUAAUAUUCAAAAAAUUUUUGAACGCCAUAGCAAUGUUCCAAAAAUUGCACAAUAGAAAAGAUAAGAGAAUAAUCUUUGUUUAUCUUGAUAUUAUCAAGGAUGAUAAUGAAUUUUUAUAUACUGUUAAUAUAAAUAUUGACUUCUCAAAAUUACGUUUGACAAGGAAAAGGCAAUGAAAGGAAAAAAACACAGGAGAGAGAGAAUCAGGAGAGAAACGAAGAACUCUUUAAAGGUACUAUUAAGCCCCGUGUUGAAGCAGCAGAGGAAGAGAUUCUUUCGUGGUUGCUUUGCCGAAGCAGAGGCGAGGUCGGUCGUUAAGAAGAGAAGAGAAGAGGAGAGAAGGUAAGGUAUUCAAUUAAGAUGUCAUGCGUUAAGAGGAAAUUCAUUCCUUGGUUUUCCACUUGAACCAGGACUGGGCGUUCUAAGCUUUCGGGUAAAGGGACUCAGAUCGAGGGGCUAAGGAUUCUUUUUGUUGUAAUCCCUUAUCGCAAGGGCCAUUGACUUCUUCCUUCAGGAAGUCCAGUUCUUCACAGGCCUGUCUUAUGAGCCCUUUCAAUUCUUUAGCGAGUGGUUGAGUUUCCGCCCCUUACCCUCACUUUAUGAAAGAGACCCUGAUCUCUCGCUAGACCUCAAAGUAGAAAGAAGGAUUAGGCCUUCAAGGAAAUGGAGAUAGAGUUGUUAGAAGGGUCUUCCUUAGUUGAAGGAUAGGUAACUGCUGGUUUUGAAAGCCUGAGGAGGAUCCAGUGCAAAAUCAAGAUCAGUCCAUUUAGUGGACUUGAAACUAGAGAAGGAAAGAAGGAAUUAGAGUAAGCGGAAAGGGGAUCUUAAGUUAAACCCGCCAAUCCCUUUUUACUGGCCUGCCAUGUAUGAGGCAAAACUGCUAACCCGUAAGCUAGUAAGUCACAGUCACCAGGGGAGCUCUUCAGUUGGCGCCGUCUAUGGGAACGAAGGUACGAGUAGUUGUGUUGAUGGCGAGAACGCGUUCAAAGCGAACUGUGGAGAACACCGACCCCGGAGCCGGCGAGGGGUCCCGGCGAGUGGAGACCGAGGCGGCUCGGGGCGCCAGGGGCUCAGCCCUUUCAGGGGAACGGAGACAGCAGAUUUUUCAGUUCGUGACGGAGAACCUUCCCAUGCUAGAAGACAUAAUUCGGCAAGCAAAGGAGGGGGUGAAGCCGAGGGCGUCCAAACCUCCAAGGCGAAGGGGAAGGAGAGGGAAUCACCUCCCGCUCCUUCGGAGGAUGAGUCACGGGACCAGCCCUCCAGGAAGAAACGGCCACGGACUCCCCCUCGGCCGCGGGCCUCGGUGGUCGGGGAUAGUGAGGGGUACUCUCGCGAUCGGUCCGCUGGGGGCCGACCGAGAAAUCCCUCCUCGUGGAAGCUUGCGCGGAAGGAGCCUGAGCGCUCCCCCGUCCGAUCUAUCAAGAGCCGGCCGCGAGACCACCCCCAGUGGAACCCUGUCCGGGACGAGUUUGAGCAGAUCUUGCGGCCGCAGUUGUACGAGGACAACUAAACCACCUCGCCCUUUACCCGGGAGAUAGAGGACUACCCACUACCCCGGAGGUUCAAGAUCCUGAAUAUCGAGCUGUACGACGGCUCGACCGACCCGGAAGAUCACAUUUCGGUCUUCCUGACGCAUAUGCGCGCCUGCAAACCGCUGCGGAUGGGGUCCGCUGCAAAACCUUCCCCAUGUUCCUAAAGGGGAAGGCCCGGCUCUAGUUCCAAGGUCUGGCACCGGGGUCCAUCCGGAACUUCCCCGAGCUGGCCAGGCAGUUCGCCGUCCAGUUCGUCUCCUCGAAGACUUUACUCGAAAAAUGCGACUCACCUGAUGGCAAUCAGGCAGAAGCCGGACGAGUCCCUGAGGAACUUCAUGACCCGCUUCAACACGGAGAGCUUGCAGAUCAGGGACAAGGAUGAAAAUGUGGUCAUGGCCGCCAUCAUGAACGAGCUCAGGGUGGAAGAGCUCUUUCUCAAGCUCGCCGAGAAGCCUCCCGGAGACCUGGAAGAGCUCUUGACUAGGGCACACGCAGCCGCUAAUGCGGAGGAGGCUGCUCGCCUGAAGAGAGAGUCAGAUCGGGAGAUCGAAGAUAGGAGAGGAUGGGUAAACCCGCCCGGGAAUAAGGACGGCCCGGCCAAGAAGAAUGUUUUCGACCGGCUCUCAAAGGAUAAGGCCCCCGGUCAACCGCCGCUUCCAGAAAAAGGCUACAACCCCCUAACUCGGCCCAGAGCCCAAGUUCUGGCCGUUAUGGAGGUGGAGGGCCUAGUGGGGUGGCCGCCUAAGAUGGGGACACCCCGGAACAAGAGGAACCAGGACCGGUACUGUGCCUUCCACCGUGAUGUCGGGCAUGAUACGGAGGGGUGCCGGGCCCUGCGAAAGGAGAUAGAGGAUCUGAUCCAGCACGGCUUCUUGGGGCGAUUCGUGCAGCAAGGUCGACCAGGCCAGGAGCCUGGACGCACCUACCGCGGAGACAGGGGCGAGGGCCAGCUUCGUGGCCGCCCUGAGCGGCGUGACGUCCCUUGGGACCAUUCCCCCGACCAGGACACCCAGAACUUGACAGGGGUAAUAAACACAAUCGCUGGGGGCCCCACGGGAGGGGACAGCCAUGCGGCCCGGAAGAACAGGCGACUUCUUUCGGAGGGGAAUGACUCCUUGAAGCGCCUGCGUAUGGACGAAGAGAUCACCUUCGGACCAAGGGACGCGGUUCCUCUGGCGUCUGGAAACCACGAGGCCAUCGUGAUAGACGUCGUGACCAAUAACUACCGGGUGAAGAAAGUGUACGUCGACCAGGGGAGCGCGGUGGACAUCCUGUUUUACCGGGUGUUCAAGGAGCUCGGAUUGGAGGACGGACAGCUAACCCCGGUUCGGACACCCCUUGUGGGUUUCACCGGACCGCCCAUCACUCCGGAGGGGAUGAUCACCCUGAUGGUUACGGUAGGGCAGGCGCCCAAAUGCCGGACUAUCCCCGUCAACUUCGUGGUGGUCAAACAACAAUCCCCGUACAACGUGUUCUUGGGACGGCCCGCCUUGAAUGCCUUUCGAGCUAUCCCCUCGUCUCUCCACCUCAGCGUCAAAUUUUCCACCCCGGGAGGAAUAGCUGAGGUGCAUGGGGAUCCAGAGGUGGCCAGAACUUGCUACUUGGCCGUGCUCUGGGGACAUGAGAAGGUGAUCGCCCAGACGACCACUUUAGAGCCUUACAUCCCGGGGGAAGAGGCCCGGCAGCUGGGCACCCAGGACCAGAUCGAGGAGUUCCCAUUGAGAGAGGACAGGCCUGACCAGGUCCUCCGCGACGGUGCGUCGCUACCCCCCGAAGAGAAGGAGGGCUUGAAGGCCCUACUAAGGGAGUACGCCCAGGUCUUCGCGUGGACGGUGGAGGACAUGCCUGGGAUUCUGACUGAUCUGGCCGUCCACCACCUCAACGUAGACCCCCGCUUCAAGCCAGUGAAGCAGAAGAAGAGGAGUUUCGUCCCAGAGAGGAAUGAGGUGAUCAGGAAGGAGGUCAGCAAGUUGUUGAAAUCCAAAAUCAUCUUGGAGGUGUACUAACCGACCUGGUUAGCCAACCCCGUCCUGGUAAAGAAGGAGGACCAGUCCUGGAGGAUGUGCGUGGACUUUACAGAUCUCAAUAAAGCCUGCCCGAAGGACUGCUUCCCUUUGCCGAUGAUCGACAGGUUAGUAGACUCUACUGUUGAUUUUGACGUUUUGUGUUUCCUGGUUGCUUUCAAGGGAUACCACCAGAUAGAGAUGGCCGAAAAAGACCGAGAGAAGGCCUCCUUUAUCACCGAGGAAGGAACUUACUGCUACCGGACCAUGCCGUUUGGGCUAAAGAACGCCGGAGCUACCUACCAACGUCUGGUCAACAAACUAUUCCAGAAUCAGAACGGCAAGAGUAUGGAGGUCUACGUGGAUGAUAUGAUUGUCAAGAGCCGAACUGAUCGGCAGCUCGUCCCCGACCUUAGGGAAAUCCUGAACAUUCUAUUGAAAAGCCGGAUGCGGCUGAACCCAAAGAAAUGUACCUUCGGGGUUAGGUCGGGAAAGUUCCUGGACUUCCUGGUCUCCCGAGAGGGGAUCCGAGCCAACCCGGAUAAGUUUCAGGCCAUCAUAGACAUGGCCCCCCCGAGGAGCGUCAAGGAGGUCCAACGGCUCGCGGGCAGGAUGGUCGUCCUGAACAGAUUCCUCUCGCGCUCCGCGGUAAGGGGGCUGCCCUUCUUCCGAAUCCUGAAAGCACCAAAGGACUUCCAAUGGACGGAGGAGUGCCAGACAGCCUUCAUCGACCUAAAAGCAUACUUGGCCGAGCUUCCUGCUCUGACUGCCCCGGAGCAAGGAGAGACCCUGUUCCUAUACUUGUCUGCUUGCAACGAGGUCGUUAGCGCGAUUUUGGUGCGGGAGGACAAGGGGGUUCAACGGCCAAUAUACUACGUUAGCCGAGCUUUACAAGGGCCGGAGACGCAUUACACGCCGGCGAAAAAAUUGGUCCUCGCCUUGGUGCACGCCGCUCGGAAGCACCGACCUUACUUUCAGGCCCACAGCAUUACCGUCCUGACAGAUCAACCCUUACGGCAGAUACUCACAAAAUCCGAGGUCUCGGGCAGAAUGACCAAAUGGGCCGUCGAACUGGCCGAGCACGACAUCGGCUAUCAGCCUCGCACCGCUAUCAAAGCUCAGUCCCUGGCAGACUUCCUCGUCGAAGGAGCCAAGCUGUCCGUAACCGAGCCGAGCUCUGUGCCCGAGGAGGCGCGGCCGGAAGAGCCGUGGGUACUAUUCGUAGACGGGGCCUCAAGUAAGGAAGGGAGCGGAGCUGGCUUGCUGCUCACUUUGCCCACCGGGGAGGAACUGACCUACGGUCUCAGAUUUGACUUCCCAGCGUCCAACAAUGAGGCUGAGUACGAGGCGCUAUUGACAGGAUUGUGGAUAACCCACCAGAUGGGUGUAACCGCGAUCAGAGUCCGGAGCGAUUCUCAACUCGUAGACUACCAAGUCCGCGGGGAGUACGAGGCCAAGGAAGAUGUCAUGAAAAGAUAUUUGGCUAAGGUGCAGGAGGCGAUAAAGUUGUUCGACCUCUUUGAGAUCGAGCGGGUGUCAAGGUCACAAAACAAGCGAGCGGUGCAAAAGAGCAUUGGCAAGGUCCAGGUUCUGGCUAUAGACAGCCCGGCCACCUGGAUGACUCCCCUCGUGGACUUCCUCAGCUCGGGUGGCCUUCCAGUGAACAAGACCAAGGCUCGCCGACUCCACCUCAAGGCUGCAAGGUACGCCUACGCCGGGGGGACCCUCUACAGGAGGUCAUACUUGUCCUCCUGACUAAAGUGUGUAACUCCCGAGGAGGGUGACUAUGUCCUCCGAGAGGUUCACGAAGGCCUGUGCGCGGCACAUGGGGGGUCCUGGGUGUUGACCAAAAAAUGCCUGCUCCUAGCCUACUACUGGCCCUCGGUGUUUCGGGAUGCCGCAACUCUUAUUCAGAAAUGCCGGGCCUGCCAGGUGCACGCCCCGCUGCGCCACCAACCUACUCGGGAGAUGAUCCCUAUCCACAGUCCUUGGCCCUUUGCCCAGUGGGAGAUAGACCUCUUGGGUCCCUUCCCUCGAGCUCCUGGAAGGUACGAACACCUCGUGGUGGCCAUCGACUAUUUCACAAAGUGGAUGGAGGCCGAACCCCUGGCCACUAUUUCCGGAAGGGAGAUUCAGAAGUUCUUCUGGAAGAACAUAGUCUGCCGCUUCAGGAUCCCGCAUGUCUUGAUAUCCUACAACGGGCGACAGUUUGUUGAAAAUCCUUUCAGGAGCUGGUGCGCCGAGCUCGGGAUUAGCCAACAUUUCACCUCGGUCGGACAUCCCCAAGCCAACGGUCAGGUAGAGAAUGCUAAUCGAACCAUUCUGCAAGGGCUUAAGACUAGGUUGGAACUAGCCCAGUCUAACUGGCUAGAUGAACUCCCUAGCGUCCUCUGGGCUUACCGCACUACGCCAAGGACAGCUACUCAUGAGAACCCGUUCUCCCUGACUUACGGGGCGAAGGUGGUGGUGCCCGCGGAGGUCGGUCUCCCCUCGCCUCGGACACAGAACUUCGUGGCGUCAGCCAACGAAGAAGAACUGAGGUGCAACUUGGACAUGCUGGAGGCUAAGCGUGAGGAAGCGACGAUACGGAUGGCUAAGUAUAAAAGCCAACUCGCCCGCUAUCAUAACGCGAGGGUGAGGAAUAUGCAGUUCCAACCGGGAGAUCUCGUCCUAAGAAAGAACUCAGUCAGCCGAGCUCAUAACUCCAACAAGCUUGGUCCGAACUGGGAGGGGCCGUACAAGGUCCUCGAGGCAAGCCGGGCUGGGUACUGUAAGCUUGCCAAAUUAGACGGUGUAGAGGUACCCCGCCCUUGGCACUUCUCGAAUUUGCGAUUGUUCGUAGGAUAGGUUGGUCCGGAGUAUCUUAUUGUAUUCUUUGGAAUUUUCGUACCAGUUCAUCAUUAAAUAAAUGCUUAGUUUUCACGUUUUAAGUCCCUUCUCAUUAUCAAUGUCGUUUAACUUUUCACUUCUACACUAGCACACUCAGAUAAUGCUAAGUGUCCUAGUGGGGGGCCCUGAGAGAUCGACGCUCGACCUAGGAGGUCGGCAGGGCUGUCUUUAGAAUUUUGCCGCUCGUUCCAAGAGGUCGGCGCAGUUUAAAAAGAGCCUUAGGGUCCGGUGCUCGACCCAGGCAAAUUGGAAUUUGGUUGUUAGUUUAGCUUGGUCGUCUGAUGGGACCCCAGUUUGUCGUCCUUUGGCAAAUUGGUUGUUGGCUUACAGUUAGGCAGGUGCUCGACCCAAGAGGCCGGCACGCUGCUUCAGUAAAUCAGGUUUGACGGUCGAUUCAGGAGGUCGGCAUAACUUAAAGCCUAGAGGUUUGAUGUUCGGCCCAAGAGGUCGGCGCGUCACUCCGGUUAUUAGAAUUCAAUUGCUAAAUCAGCCUGAUUGUUUGAUGGUUUGGUGUCCCUGACAACUUAGCCGUUAGCUUAAAGGGCGAUAGAUUCUCGACCCAAGAGGUCGGCACGCCGCCUUGGUGGAUCUAUUUGGUGCUCGACCCGGGAGAUCGGUGUUCCUCUUCGGUUACUAGAGUUCGCCGCUAACUAGGAAUUGAAGGUCAAAGCAGAUAGUUUCAUUCAAACUUCAUCUCAUAUAUGCAUUCAGACCCUAUCUAUUACAAAGCCUACCGAGCUAUACAAGGAAAGGAAAACCUAGCUAUGCCUUCUUCUUGCUGGCGACCUGCUUGAGGCGGGAGCUGAAAGUACACCUUAAGCAUGUUGAGAGGCGUAUGGAGAAGGCUGUUAAAAAGGAUCUGUGGAGAUCAUGAACUGCGGGGCAUGGCCACAUCCUUAUAAGAGGAUGGAAAGGGUUUCUGGAGUGGCCUCUGCCCUAAGCCACUGGCUCCUUCCCAGAAGCCCUGCCAGGGGUCUCCUCCUCCUCCAGGGGGAGCUCCGCCAGCUCGGCCCCUACAUCGCUCCUACCCGUCAGAUCUUUCAGAGCAUGCCCUUUGCAGUACCCAUCGAAGAGCCAGUCCAGCUUCCCCUCGGCUGCGGGGUUGUAGUCCCUGAAAUCAGCCAAGUUGAAGCCGGGUAGGUUGAGGCCCUUCACCUGGUCCAGGGCCCGCGUGACGCCGACCUGAAGGAUGGGCUGGUUGAGGAGGGCCACGUCCUCUGCGAACUGCUCAGAGGAGAUGAACUCCCGAACAGCCUUGGCUGACGGUGCCGGAGAGCUCAAUGGCUUGGUCCUCCCUCAAUUUCGCCAUGCCCUUCUUCUCCUGGUCCAGCUCGGACCGGGUGGCGGCGAGCUGGACUUGGGCCUCCUCCAACCCCUUCUCGGCCUUACCCAGUUUGGCCUUAAGGGAGUCCGCCCCCUUAAGGGCCUGGGCAAGCUUCUGCUCGGUCUCCCGAUGCUUCUUCUGCAACUUCUCCAAAUCGGGAGACAGCUCGGAGAAGCGGGUCACCAGGGCAGCAUCGACGGCAUUGGCCUGAGGAAAGGAAAGUAAGAGUAAGCACAAUACCAACUCCAUCAAGGGAAAGAGAAGGGGCCCAAGGGGCCUAAGCGGGAGAGGGCUUACUUGGGUCUGGGUGGUGUAGUACAUGUCCUGGAGCUCGAACGGGCUGGCCAGCUCCAUCCACCUCCUAUCGCGUAGAAGGACUGAGCCCGUGACCAACUCGCGAGCCACUUCGGGGAACUGGGCUCGGUCGUUGAUGGCGAGCUCCCAGGACGGGCAGAAGUGGCGGGGGUCGUGCAUGGUGGGGGCUUGCCCCGGCUUCGUGGGGGCCACGUGGCGGAAGUGCCAUAAGCUCGGGGGAGCGCUCUCCCGAGCGUGCUCCUCCGCGGAGCCAACCCCCAGGUGGACAAGGCCCCCCGACGUCAACAGGAGAGGGCGCUGUGCUGGGGCUGGCGUCGGCUUCUUCCCGGACUGGGAAGGCUCGUCCUCUCGACCCCUCUUCUGCCCUGGCCCCUUCUUUUUGCCGGCGGCCUGCUUGGAGGGGGAUUGAGACUGGGAGGCCUCCUUCUGGGGGGCCGAGCUGCCCCCAGGAGUCGGAGAGGUCUCGGAGGCCUUUUUCGCCGCCUCAGGCUGCGUGGUGGGAGCGACCUCCUCGAUUGGCGCGCCCAGUAGCCUGGAGAGCUUCCUCACUGCGACAAGCAUAUCCAGGUCAGCCAAAACAGGUCAGUAGGGAAAAAUACAAUAUAUAUGUAAAUACAACGAGCUACAGGGACAGAGUCGGCGUUACAGGCUUCGAGGUUGGUAGGGGAGGCCACCACCUCUCCAAGGGACCCUGACAACGUCUCCAUCAGCCCGGCCGCAGAGAUCUGCUUGGUGGAGAACUUGGCGGCAAAGAGUUUCACCUUGGAGCUCAUCAGUUGGCCGAGGGCCUCGGGGUCCAGAUCCUCUGGAUAGGGGUCGGAGUCGACCUCCCCGACUUUCCACAUGUUCGGGGGAAAGCUCGUGGAUUUUACAAAGAGGAAGUCCCCCUUCCAGUUUUUUAUGGAAGAAGGGACCCCAUAGAGUAGAUCCUGGGUACCCUUCCCCUCCCGAACUUGGCCAGCCCCUCGGCCGGAGAAGUAGUACCACCCAGGGAGGGAGAGCUUGAGGAUGUAAAAGGCCCGGAAGAGGGAAAUUGAGUAGGGGAUGGAGCAGAUUUGGCAGUAGAUCAGGAAUCCAAUGAUGAUCCUGAUCGAGUUGGGGUGGACCUGGGUGAUCCGGAGCCCCCAGUAGCUCAGGAUCUCCGUCAGGGCUGGAGGAAUGGGGAGCCGGAGCCCAGCGAGCAGCUGCUCCCUGUAGAUGGCUACAAAGCCAGGGGGAGGUCGGCAGGCUCGAUCGUUGGGCCCGGCGGCUCGAAGGCCGGAGGGAUGAAAAAAGACCCGGCCAGCUCGGCCACCGCCCCGGGUGAGAGGGUGAUCUCCUGCCGGUCGGGGUGACCGUAGUUGAACUCAGAAUCAUCCCCCUGCUCGGAAGCAGGGGUCCCCUCGGAGGAGUCCCUGUCCUCCCCAGCUCCCCCUUGGGCUCCGUCAGGGGAGUCGUGUGGAGACUUGGGGGAGGGGAUAGAAGUGGCUUGCUGCUCGAUAAGGGCAUCAAGCUCGCCCACCUCCUCCAGGAGUCGGGCAGAAGGAGAAUGGGCAGAUGGAGAGCUCAUGAUGUCAAUGGGCUCGAACAGGUCAGGAAUGAGGAAGUUGGGAUUAGAAGCAGAGGAAGAAGAGAGAGGGGGAGGAGAAGAUGAAGAUGAAGAUGAAGAUGAGGACGAAGAUGAAGAAGAAAUGAGGAUUCUGGGGGCUCUACGACGGGCCGGAACUUGGGAUGCGGUGGAAGUAACGUCGGAGCGAUCCGAUAUAAAAUGCAGAAGGUGGCAAAGGAGGAAAAGAAAAUGCGGGGAAAAAGAACUUACUGAUGAUCGGAGGGGAAAAAAGAUGAAGGAACCGCCGGAAUCUGGGUACUGAUGGCCGGAAGUCUUGCAGAGAGAACCUUUGGGAGUAGAGGAAAUGCGUGAAGAAGGGAAAAUGGCAAAUAGAGUUUGAGAGAGUCUGAUAAUCCCUAUUUAUUGGGAGCAAAAUGGGGGGGGGGGAAACGGCUGCUUGAAUUCGAACCGCCCCAUGUGAACGCAUUUAAGAGCGGUACGGAAACCGAGGAGACGCGACAACUGAAGGGACGCGGGCGCAGCUUUUCAAUGACAGCACUGUACCGGAGAUGACCGCGGCAGUACGAGGCGACGCUGGGCUCCCACGUGACAAGGAUGUAGAUCAGGUCUGCCUGGAAGCCCUACCUAAUCUAGGGGGCUAGUGCAGAGGCCCCGUCCUGGGCCCACACACGUGGCAGCCCAGGGAGGCCUGAGCUGGGUUUAGACCCUCAGACCCAUGGGAACCGUCCCGCGGCCCCCCGCCGCUAGGGCUCCAAGGGGCUCCAGAGAACAGUCCCACAAAGGUCGGGAUUGCUCCCCCUCAGUGCGGGAUUGAGGCUAUUCUGGGCAGGUCCCGCAACGUACGGAGGUCGGGCUCCUAAACAGGUAUAAAUGGUAACGCACACCGGCUGCGCAAGGUACGUUGACUAUUGGACAAUUACCCCCGACCAUUUUUACUUCCCGUGGAUUUCACUCAUCGAAAAACUAACUUGACCGUCGGAGUGCCCUCGGGGACGUUCUCGGGGCUCCCCCAUUGGAUUACUUUCUUGUUCGUUUUUCAGGCUUAGGACGCGCUCUUCUCAUCAGGAAAAAUAUUAGAUGGAAAAAAGAAAUAAAGUGUGCCUCUAUCUCUGUCCUGGCACAUGUGCAACGUAUGUGGCAAUAAACUCUAAAGUUAGAUAUGACAAUAUUAUUUGAGUAGACAAAUCAAUUUGAAGCAUAAGAAAAAAAAAUUCUCCUCAGUGGAGUUAAAUGCAUUAGUGAUUAUUCUUUUUCAUUUGAUGAGCUGCAUAAUUAUGAUACUGAUCGUACUCAUCAAAACUUUUAGAUAAAGCGUUGGGAACACAUACAUACAUGUCCUACUCGUCAAAAACUUUAAGCUAAUUCUCUGGGAAUGCACAUAUAUACAGUCACAGUAUAUCUGACAUGUAUUUAAGGUGCUGACUUGAAGGUAAAAAAAAAAGACUCAAAUUUGAUGUAAUUUUGUAAGAGAUUGGAUUGCCAAUAAGGACGCAAAAGAGUCAAAGUUUAAUUUAGUUUUAGAUCAUGCACACACAAAACUGAGGCUCGAAUAGGGUUAAUGAGCUGUCAACCUCAAAUGUAAAGCUCAAGUUUUGAGUUAGUCAAGCUAUGCAAACUUAGCUCAUUCUCAAGCUUUGACACGAGAGCUUGCAAAUACAUCCAUUGAGAUUAAUUUAAGACAAAUAAAGUUGUGCAACACUCGAAUCAAACAAGACUUAGUAAGGACUCACUUGAGCUUUGGUUAUCAAAUCAAACAUAGAAAACAACAAAGUGUUUAUUGAAGUUUCAAGCUUGCCUUGAUUAAUAUGAAACAUGAAACUUACACAAGUUUCAAAUUACUCCCAACUUAAUUUCGAUUAAGACUCUUAUGAAUUCAGCUCAAGAGCUAAACAAGCUAUUUUGAACUGGUAAAAAUAAACAGCAAACUGAAAUGCUAGAGCUCUGACUUGAUUUGGCUUGUUUAGACCCCUAUUCAAAACUCUCUGCAUU